Molecule: long non-coding RNA, 70280 nt
Filed under: Chlamydomonas reinhardtii
Lineage: Eukaryota; Viridiplantae; Chlorophyta; Chlorophyceae; Chlamydomonadales; Chlamydomonadaceae
Description: long non-coding RNA (CREI_LNC001144)
Source: RNAcentral
ACAACUUGGGUGGUGAGGUAAGGAAAUGCGGGCUGUGGCGUUCAACCGCGUGUUUGCGCUGUGCAACCUGCCGUGUCGUUCCGCUCGUGUAUGGAUCUUGGCUGUUGUUCGUGCGUUUGCCGGUUUGUGCUGUCACGACGCCCGAUGCCUGCUCCCCGCAUCCGCACGCACACUCAGGGCGGCGAGGUGGGUACCUGUGAGCAGGACCAGCAGUGAGCUAUGGCAGGGACCUGUGGCAGGCAGUGUCUGCAGUGAGCGGGGGCGCGGCCCCAACAGGCCGCGGCGGCAGUCGCCUCCUCUGGACCCUUCGCGCCUACCAUGGACUCACACCAGCAGUUCUACCUGUAUGGGUGGGUGGCCAAAGAGCGGCUAGAGCGGGGGCUGGGCUGGGCUGGGCUGGGCCGUUAUCGUAUGUUGGAGGGGACUGUUGGAUCCGGCUGACCUUCUAGCGUUCUUGGUUUGAAGUACAUGUUAACAGGAAGGUCAGCUCCGGUCAACGCUGCCAACAUCCGUGCCAGCUAGCGCACUGUCAGCAAGUUGUUAGGGUUGUUCGGUAAGCUUGAAGGGCUGGAUUGGGCACUGUCUAUCAAUGCGUCACCGGUGUCUUUUGACACCACCCUGGACUCGGAAUCUCGGAUGCUGGAUGGUCGGGGAGAGCGCUGGGAUAGGAGCAGUAGCGCCAGCAGCAGGCAGCAGCAAGGGGCCAGGGCCAGGGGUUGAGUGCCGUGGGACCGGCGGCAGGCAGCGCAGGAGCAGUGUUGCUACGUAGGGUGUACUUCCGCUGACCCUCCCAACCCCCUCCACGCCACGCCACGCCACGCCUUACCCCUUCCCACUCCGUUCGGCCCCCUCCCCCUCAGGAGUCAGGACUGGGGCCAGGGCUGGGGCAUUGCGACAGCUGCUAUUGAGUGGCUCGGAAGGCCGACGCUGGAGAGUGCGGAGUGUGCGGGAGGCCUUCGAAGGAGGCCUUGAGGCCGGCGGCUGUGGGGCAAAGGGGCAAGGGCAGGUGGCGCAGGGGCGGCGGCUGCACGUGCGGAGGCAGCGGGGCGAGCUCAGCCGUGUGGGGAGCCGCCGGGUGAGUGGCAGCCUUGCAGGUGGUGGCGCGUGGGGCAUUCGAGGUGGGGCAGCGCGUGUGCGUGGGCGUGCAUGUGAGGGAUAGGGUCGUAGGGGGGAUGGAGGGCCGGGGGAUGGAGGGCCGGGGUCGUGGCGGAGCCCAUUGCACAGGAGGCGGCUGGGGACACGGGUUGGGCAGGGGGGAUUACGGAUGGAUGGGCUGCGAGAAGGCAAGAAGACAAAACUUUUGUCUAUCCAUGCGGCGGCUGUAGCUGCACUACUGCUGGUGCAGGUGCGGCCGCCUCCGGCAGCGGCAGCACUGCUGCUGCUGCUGCUGCUGCUGCUGCUGCCGUCAGGGCCCGUGCUGCCGCGCGUGGGGCGCUGGUGCUGCUGCCGCAGACGGAUGCGUUGGGUUGGUAGCUGGGGGAUGUGGGUCGGGUGGGAUUCGGCGACAUAUGGUGAAGGAGCACGGGAUGUGGGUCGGCCGGAAGUGGGGAGUUGGGUCGUGGGUACUGUAGGGGCAUGCAAGGGCGUGAAAGUGUGGGCUGUCCCCUCAGCUGCCCUUGUGCAUGCCACAUGUCAGUGCUCACGCCAUCGGCUCUAUCCCUGCCCCUUGCGUCUCCCCUCUCACCCGCCGGCCAAGCACCUCCCGCCCACUGGUCUUCCCUCUCGCGCUUCUCUGCCCACCUGCUUGCGAGGCUGCGACGCAGCCCUGCCGCACACACACUCCAUAGCAUCCCCUCGCGCCCUGCCCAGCACCACCGCCAACACCCGUCGCCGGAUAUAGGUCUCUGCUUUGUAUGUGGUUGGGAAACACCUUUCCCCCUCACCGGCCCACGCCCCCACCAUGCCUCAGCGCUAGCUGGCGCCUGAUCAUGAGCUCUGACCGCACUGCUGUGGCCCUGGCGCUGUUGGGCUGCCUGCUAACAGCCGCCGCCGCCUCCACCACCACCUACCUGGCCCUACAAGCCGCAGCAGCAGCCAGAAGUGCCGGCACCAGAAACAGCAGCAGUGUCGAUGUCAGCACCGGUGGCCUCUGCUGAGAGGUCGGGGCUCUGGGUGGUGGUGAUGGUGGGGGCGGGUUGGGGGCGGGCAGCGGAGGGGCGGCCCCGCGCCCAUUUGCACUUGCUGUUGAUGGGCGGGGUUGGUGGCGGCGCAGUCCCUCGCCAACCUUGGAGCUGGCUGAUGUGGCGCGAUGUGAGGAUGACUAGAAGUAGGACCUGGCAAGACGUUGAAGGCUGGAAUGCGGAAGGCCGGGUGGGUUGAAAAUUGGACGCGGUUCAGUUGUGACAGCCGAUCGAGAAUGUCGGGCACAAGGUUGACGCGAACACCGGAGCUGAAGACUAGAAGGAGGAGGAGGAGGAUGCGGAAUGUCGGAUACCUUGGCAGCGGUAAGCGCAGUGUUGGGAGGCGGGGGAAGGCAUCUGGCGUUUGGCGGGCAACUGAGGGAACCGUAACACGGGGCGGUUUGAGGUCACAACGCAACCUGUAUGCUGGAGGCAGGCUGCCAAAGCGAUCGCGAGUCGGGUAGACAUGUGUGAUUGUGUGUAAGCGCACCGCAUACUCGUGGGUGCGAAGGGCUCGGGGAGACACGCGCACAACGAUGGAGCAGCUCGGCAUGGAGGAGGUCCGUUGCCAACGGGGGUAUGACACCGAGUGCCCACCAAGGCAGUAUAUAUAUAGAAGUUACUCAGCUUUAUUGCAACACCAUGGAGCUACCCACGAGCCUACUCGAUUUGCUGUCACUGCCGACACCGGCCCGCCAGCUCAUUUUGGGCGGCAAGUUCGAUAAAGACUUUGCUGGCUGUCGGGCGGUGUGCCGAGGCUUCAGGGAUGCCUUCGACAGCACCGUUACCGAGGCACACCUCCAUAUAGACGCGGCGGCUGUGAGGCUAUGGACCGACGGGCAGGCCCCUCGUCCCUCGCCUCUCGUGCGCUUCCCGCCCUGCGCGAAGCUUGCGAUCUUGUUUGCGGGCGCAAAUCACGAGCUCAUUCUUUUCUUGGCUCUGCUCGGCGCCACGCCCGAGACCCGACAACAGCUCCCAGGCGUGCGCAGCAGUGGAAGGGUCGCCGUGAUCGACAGGCCCGACUCGAUGCCCAAUUUGUAUGCGUCGCUAGGGGCACAGCUAGCAUGUCUAGAAGAGCUGAAGCUGGAGGUCAGAGGGCCCUUUGACUGCUGGUGUGCCGACGGAGACAGCGAACGCGUCGCAAACGUGCUGGCCAUGCUAGCCGAGAACUGUCCGCGCUUACGGCGCCUUCAGCUGCCGCUGUUGGGACCAAAGGACAUGGAGCACCUGCGGCCGCUGUCCGGCUGCGCGCAGCUUCGCGAGCUGGUGCUCAAGACAGGGGCAGGAGGGCUGACCACCAGCGAUGGCGGCGUGGCGGCACUGCAGCAGCUCUCUCAGCUCGAGCAACUGGCGCUUAUUAAUUUCGACCUGCCGCGCGAAUACAGCAGAGGGUUGCUACAGCAGCUGAUGAGCGACCGCCGGCCCCCAGGCCUGGGGCACCUUACCAUGUUGGAGUCGCUCGAGCACGGCGACGGCGUGGCCGGCUCCUGCAGCAUCACAUACCAGCACCCCCACCCGCCGCUGCACCCGCCACCAGCAGCGGUGGAGGGGCUUGCCAUGCCUGCGGACGCGGCGGCGCGAGGUGCGGGCGCAGGGGCGGGAGCGGCGGAGCCGCCCGGCCCGUCAGCCCCAAUGGUGGCGGCGGCGGCAGCGGCGGCAGCAGCGACGGCAGAAGCGCCGCUGCCCAUAAUGCAGCGUGUUGAGAUUGGCGGGCUGUCCUUUAGGCCGUGGGCGAUGCCGGCCAUGGUCCUAGCAGCCGCGGUCCAGCUGGGGCAGGACUUCAUUCCGGAGCUGGUCAUUGCAGACAUAGAGCCUGACGAGUCGUCACUCGACCGCCUGCGACCAGACCAACCGCUGCCACGAUUGGCGGCUGGCUCCGAGCGGAUGGGGUUGGGCCGCCUGUCGCUGACGGGUGGUGCUGACAUGAAGUCCGUCUGCUCUGUGUUAUCAUUGAUGGGGCUGCCGCAGUCUUUGAGGCUGCACCAUGGAGAGUGGAGCUGGGACGACGACCUUAUGGGCGGCGGCCGCAGGUACCGCCAGGCGGCGGCGGCGGGUGCUGCUGCUAUGGCUGCUGCAACUGGCACUGCCGGUGCGGCGGGCUCAGCAGCAGCGGAGCAGCUGCCGCCCGGCGGCCCGCCGCCAGACCUGAGCUUGGGCGCAGUCGACCUGGAUUCCGUGCUGGAGCGGGGGCUCGACCGGCUGUCGGCGUGGGGGCUGCUGGACGGCAGCAAUUGCAGCGACGGCGGCAGUGACAGCGGUGGUGCCAGUGACGGCAGUGGCGGUGACAGCGGUCACGGCGGUAGCAGCAGCAGGCCCAGCAGGCGCGUGAGUGGCGUGGGCCCGGCUCUCGCAAUCCUGCGAGGCGUGCCGCCGCCGUAUUCCAUUUGGGUUAAGGAAUGGCAGGACGAUGUGGUGGGUACGUUAGGAGCGGAGACCGGCAUAUUUGCCGGGCUCGACUCCAGCACCAUUGAGCGGCUUCUGCGUGGCCCUAGGAAAAUGGUAACACUCGUGCCGCCGCGGUCUGUGGUGGUUGAGUGCGCAUCCCGCAGCGACGCGGAGGAACUGGUGGGCCUGGUGCGACCCGGCAAGGAGCAAACGGUGGAAUUGGUGCCGUUGCAGCCCGGCGAGCUAGCCCUCCCUGCUGGCCACCACUUCCGGCAGUGCGUGUCCGAGGUAAGAUGGGUCUGCCGGUGGCUGGCGCAAGCGCGCGCUUGUGUAGGUAGUCGGUGGGUUGCGUGUGAGCGUGCACACUCGUUCCCCUUCUACGGAGCAAUGACAAGACUUGCGAGCUUUACUGUACCUGCAUCUUGCUCGCUGCUUCACCACAUGUGCCUGGUGCCGGCGGCGUGCGUGCAGGUGCUGCUGGAGCUGUGGGCGAUGUCGGGCGGCCCGGGCGAGGGCAGCGGCAGCAGCGGCAGUGAUGCCGCUGAGGAAGGCGACGGCAGCGGCAGCAACUGCAGCGACGGUGGCGGCGGCUAUGCGAGUAGCGACAUGGACAGCGACGAUGGCGGCAUCAGCAGCGGCGCCGGGGAUGGUUGCAGUAGUCGUCACGGGGUGGAGCUGAGUGCGGAGCUGCACAAGCGGCUGGAGAAGCUGCUGGAGCUGGACUACGAAGUCAGCAUCAAUUGGGAGGUCCGGGACUGGCGCGACUUUAGUAAACGGGUAUGGUAGGGCUCUAGGGUUAGCGGGUGGAAGGGGCGCAGUGCUGACACGGUAUUGCGCACUGCUGCGGGGGGGGGGCAGCUUGGCUGUUCACACGUGUAGGCCAACGGAACUGGCGGGCGGAUACGAGGAGUAUGUUAUGUGCUGUGCAUAUAGUUUGGGCAAGCUGUGCACGUUGCGACGACUUGCGUUAUGUGGAUGGCUUCACAACGGCGCAAGCUCAGCCCACAUGAGUGGGGCCGGGCGUGUCGGGGCUGCUUGCACUUUGCGCGGUAACACGGAACACAUAGGGGUCUGACACGUGCCUGGGACGGGGCAGAGGGCUCACAGGUGACACGACGUGUUUCCGCGCAUGUGGCUUUGCUCGUGUAGCGGGAAACGGAACAUGUGUGCGCAAGGUUGUCCAAGUUUGAUAGGGUUUCUGACGUUACGUUUGCGGGUAGUUGCGAUCGGGCGGCUAUCGGCACCGCACCAACGGCGGAUGUUUGUUGAGGUGCUAGGUCUUAGCUGUGGCAGACUGCGACUGACGACUGGGGGCGACUUGUGCGAUGAACGAAAGCAGUGCAGCAGCAGGCCCGGUCCUCUCGCAAGAUUAAUGAGCGGAUGGCGUGCAAGUGCGGAUGAGGGAGAGCAUGCCCUACUUGACUGUAAUAAAAUGAGGAGUGAACGAUACCCCACAAACGGUACCGACCGUGCGCGUGGCGAUUGUCGGAGUUGAAGGUACGGUAAUAGCUUUCUUGGCUCCGCAUAACUACAUGACCACAGACCGGGACUGAUCGAAGCACAGCGGAGGUCAGGGCAAGCAUGGCGGCUGCAGUGGUGCUGGUUGGGGAAAGAAUGAGGCGGGGCCCAACAGCCCGGUAUCUUUGACGUGGAUCCGGCCUUGUGGUUGGUCAGCAGGGUCGCCUACGGCCAGCCGGGCAGCCGGGCUACAGCGCCACAGCACACCGUGUCAAAGGAAGUGUUGGGCAGCAGGGAUGCAGGGCCGCAGACAUUCGGAAACGGCCGUCGGUGCAAGGGCAAGGCAAGGGCAUGGGCAACAAGGGCCAGGGCCAGGGCAACAAGGGCCAGGGAUGAUGCUGGGGCAGGCAGCGGACUCUUCAUCGCCACAGCAGCUACUGGGCGGUCUGGCGGGGCGGCGCACAGGGUACAGCGGCACAGGGGCAGGGGCGCCUCCGGAAGCGGCGGCGACGGUGGGGAAAGCUCAGCCGGGUGGGGAGCAGGCGGAGGCGUGAGAGGCCUUCGAGGUGAGGCAGCGAAAGGGCCGCGGGCGCGUGCGUGUGUUGGGAGGGGCAAGAGGGGGAAGGGGGGCGAGGCACGGAGCUGCGGCCAAGGUGUCUGCUUGGGGCAUGUGGACGGAGUACCGGGCAAAAGGGGCUGAGCCCCUCCACAGUCUGAAGCCGAACAACCUCAUCGCCCGGACAGUCGGGGUCGGUUUCCACAGGCACAUAGCCAAACCCGGUGCCUAUCUAGCAGUCGCGAUGCCACAGCAGAGCCAACCCGCAGCCAGACGCAGCACAAUUGUCAACAGCCGCACUACUUGUCAUGCCGCUACGCAUGCCCUGCCAGCCCCACCACUGACCGCUACCAAGACACCAGCCGGCUCCUCAGCCUGCGCGCUUGCGCCGCUUCUUGGGCGGCGCUGCGCUCUCCUCCUCCACGUCCAGUGUUGCGUUUUUUCAAGCACGUCAAUUUAAUUCUGCGCCUCGGGCUCUUUACCUCGCAACGAGUCGCCACAGUCGCCGUCAAUUGGGGUCCAUGGACUGAAAAGUUGCCGGUGGCCUCUGCUGGUUGUAAGGGUGAGCCGGGUACCCAGCCGAGCCAACUUGGGCUGCUUGCGCGGGGGUUUGAAGCUGGCUGGAGCGGGUCGCCGCGGCAGUCCAGAUGCCUGCGCAGGGGAAUGGCAGAUGCAGCGGCGCCCCUACCAGCGCAUCUGAGCUGCCUGUCGUAGCCACCUAUUUGCGUGGUAAAAUGCCGCAAGAGGGUCUGGAUCAUGCCCGCCCAGUCCCACCCCGCCUCCGUAAACUCAGUAACUUCAGAGUCCCCGAACUCAAAACCCCCACACGUUCAUGGGCAGCGUGUAGGUCUGUGUAGGUGUACCGUAUGCCGUAUGCCAGUACUCCGGCCAGCUCCGGCACGCAUACACAGCCACACUACUGAGCUGAGAAUGUGGACCAUGCUGGCCUGUACUGAGUGCGUGCUGAUACUUAAGCAACCACAACACCUUUAUGUAUGGUGCGAGCUGCCGAACUGCGCUGCAGUUGCAACAUUAAACGGUCGUGUCCUGUACGGUAUCCUCUCCUGCCGUUCAUCCUCCCUCAUGUCAUGACAUUGGCCAUAACAUGAUGCUUACGGGGCACGCCCGUGGGGCACGCCCCACGCAUCGCUUGGCGGUCCGCUAGUGGCACGCACGCACAUCUGCGCCACGCAGCGGAUGCUUGCGCGGAUGCUUGUAUGUGAUGGGCUGCGGCCAUGCCGCUCCAUGCGCUACUUGAAAGCUCGAAUUGAAUGUCGUGUGUUGCGACCGUUCAGCUCGCAAGCGACCGGCUGGUUCCGGACAUGGCAGGACCCACGUCCAUCAUACCCGCACUCUUGUGAACAAGUCGCACCUGCUAUGACUACCAUAUGUUCGUUUCCUUGUAGACGACACUAUUAACAAAAAGCUGGGCUGGUGCGCGUCUCCAUUUCCUUGACCCACCACUCGUCAAGCGCGUAGUCGUAUAAGGCUUUCAUUAUGAAGCUUGGACUUAGGAUAUACGAAUGCCGUUGCCGGCAGCUGGUGGCUAGGGCUGCUGGGCGAGUUGGAGGAGCGGCAACCCGGCGGAGAGUUUGGAGCACAGUCGCUGCCCUAUCUGGGCAGGCAAGUAGCUAUGUGUAUAUGUGCAACAAUUAGAAAGGCGUCGUGACGGGCACGACUAAACGCCUCAACGCGACCUGGCGCGCUGCAGGCCUCAGCUGCUCGGCCAGGGCCCGAGAAGCCGACUUCGGCAUGGCCAAACAUCACUCCUGUUAUAAAAGAGAAGAUUGCGAUGUUCGAGGGACUGCAGGGCGACGAUUUCAGGUGUGUGCGAAGAGACAGCUCAGCGGCAAUGGCGGGGCUCUACUUUGUUCGGUCAGCGUUACGCGAAAUUUGAUGGGAAUGCUCGUGUUUGCGGGUGGUUCACCCGUUGGGCCUGCGUGCUAGGGGUGGGGGCUGGGCUGCCAGCCACGGGCAUACGGUGUGGCGCUCUAAAGCUUCCCCGACCUCAACGCGUUCCCGGCUGACACGGCAGCUGCCCCGCUUAUGUUGCACUGGCGCGUGGCACUUGUGCUGGGGCCGGGGCCGGGGCCGGGGCCGGGGCCGGGGCUGGGGCUGGGGCUGGGGCUGGGGCUGGAGCCGGGGUGGGCGAGCGCAUAAGGCUGCAGAGCGUGGCCACACGACGCCUUCGCUCUGUCCAGCCCACCAAGCUAUCUAGGCGCCUGGCGCGUUUAGAUGCGGCCAGGCCGACCUCCCCAGCAGCUCGACCAGGCCACUGGUUGAUCAGGUGCAGCCACUGUAGCGGCUGCUGAGUGCUGACAUGCCGCUGGGCUUGCCGUGCGCGGCGACCCGGCUGCGCACCGGCCGUGUUGGGGGUAGGGGAGCAGUGCGCAGCGCGGCAGUGGUGCUACCGCAGACUGGCCUUGCAAGAGCAGGAAUGAACACGAGUUCGGGCCGCUAAACCGGCAGCCGCGCGCUCCUUGCGGCACCUGGGGGCUGCUGCAGGUCAAUCGUGUUGUGGUUUGGUAUUGCCUCCCACAUCCUGACGCCGCGUCGCCUCCAGCCAGCCAUCCUUUCACGCUUUCCUCCAUGCCGCCCGUGCCUUGAACCCUCCCUCCCUCCACCGUGCCCCGAACCCUCCCUCCCUGCCCUUCCUCCGUCCCGCUGUGCCGCACGCAGGCAUCCGCUGGACCAGCAAAACACCAGCAUGCUGCGGGCGGUGCCGGGGCUGGAGAUGGUGGCCAAGAACUUCAUGGGUGAGGCGGAGGCGGCGGGGGCGGAUGUUGGGGCCAACGGAGUGGACUGAAGGGUGUUGUUGGGGGUGGCGGAGGCGGAUGGCGAGCGAGAGGAGCCGAGUGGGGCUAAGAACUGAAAGGCGGCCUGAUGGGGCGCGUGGCGGCGGAGGGCGUUUGGAGGGUUGGGAUGGUGGGGCUCGUGGGACUGGUGGGGCUGGUGGGGAUGACCGGGCCACCAGUUCGGGAGUUCGGAUGCUUACCGCCAUUCACCUGCACCUGCACCUGCACCCCGUGCCUUCACCCGUACCUUGCGCGCGCUGUUACCAUCCUACUCAUUCGUCUGCCCCCGUCACACGCCCGUCCUGCCCGCCCCUGCGUCCCUAACGACUGUCUUGCCCGCCCCUGCCUGUGCCCCUGCCAGGCCCGGUGGCCGAGCAAGUGCUGCUGCUUGAGAACAUCAGCACCAGCAUCAAGAUCGGGCCGGAGCAGCUGCCCUCCAUACACAAGCUGCUGGUGGACGCGGUGGGUGAUUGCUAGGGCGGAGUGGGUUGGAUGGUUUGAUGGUGGUUGAUGGGGUGGGUGAGCGGGUGGAUGUGGUGGUUAGUGUGAGAUAAGGCAACCGCCCCGGUGCAGCCCAUUCGGGGCUGGGGCUGGGCGCUGAUGGGAGCUAACCGACUAGCGUUGCGCCGUCGUGGUGUCCGCAGGCCACACGGUCUCUGUCGCCAUGCCCCGCCAUCGCACGCUGCCUUGACCCGCCCUCGCCUUCAAUCCCGUUUCUUGCUGUGACCUCACGCGCCUCAUGCUGCCGCCCCCUGUCCCCGCCCGCAGGCCCGUAUUCUGCAGAUGGAGCCGCCGGAGCUGUACGUGCGCCAGGUGCGGCCGUGGGCAGCCCGGGGCAGCCGCGUGGCGAACUGGGGUCUGGGGGCCUUGGGGUCUGGGGUCUGGGGGCUGUGCUGGUGUCGUUUGGCGGUUUGGCUGAAGGACUGGAGCAGGUGGAGGGGCUCGCGUUGCUUGAACCGUUGGUGCUAUGUGCUGACAAGCCCGCCCGCUCUCCUCACACUCGCUCCGCACACCCCACACGCCCCACACGCUCCGCCCCACUCCCCCACCGCAGCACCCCGUGCCCAACGCCUACACACUGGCCAUCGCCGGGCACAAGCCCUUCAUCGUCAUCCACACCGCUCUGCUGGAGCUGCUCACGCCCUACGAGCUGCAGGUGCGCGUGUAGUCAUGACUGUGUGGACGUGAGCGUGUGUCAGUGUUACGUGCAUUAGAGAGCACAGGGAGAAGGGUGGACACAUGCAAAUGCGCAAGCAAAGCCGGCAAGAUCGGUGUUGCAUGCCGUACCGCGCGGGCGAGACGAAGGUGUGGAUGUGCGUGCUGUUUGUGGCCGACGCAUCCCUACACUUACAUCACUCGCUGCUUUGGCUUGCAAUUUGACCAACCUCCAACCUGCCAUCACACAACCGCAACCCCGCCGCGCAGGCUGUUCUGGCCCACGAGCUUGGGCACCUCAAAUGCGACCACGGGCUGUGGCUGACGGUGGCCAACGUGCUGGCCAGCGGCACCGUGUCGGUGCUGCCCGUGGUGACGGGCAUGGUGCAGGUGGGCUCGCGGGAGCUGUGUGUGUUUAGUGUGACACUAAAGGGAAGGAAAACACGCAGGGCUGUGCGCGCGCAUGCCUGGGGAUACCGUAACAGGCAGUGUGGGGCUGCCGUGGUACUAGCGAUGCCGCCAAAUGCAAGACGCUGCUGCUUGCUACGAACCGCCAUACCACCACAUUACAGCACCGUCAUGCAAUUCAGCACACACAUCAUCGCGCCAGCAACGCCACCACCACCACCAAUCACACCCGCAGGAGGCGCUGCUGCGCUGGCUGCGGGCGGCGGAGCUCACCUGCGACCGUGCGGCGCUGCUGGUGGCGCAGGUGGGCGCCUUUUUGGGGAGGGGCGCGUGUUUGCAAGGGCAGGGGUCCGCGCCCGGUUCAAUACAGUGCGGUGCGGUACAGUGCGGUGCGGUGCGGUGCGGUGCGGCGCGCAACACCACGAGACCUCGUCUCCACGCGCUUCUUGCACUGCAUGCCCGGGUUGGACGACGCUUCCCCCUGUGACACCGAUCGUAAGCUUGGGCACACCGCAUCACCUCUCCCCCUCCCUCUCAACUCCCUCUCCCCCUCUGAACCCCUCCUCCCCCUCAGGACCCCAAGGUGGUCAUCUCCGCACUCAUGAAGCUGGCGGGCGGCUCGCCCUCCUUCGCCUCCGAGCUCAACGUGGACGCGUGAGUGGGUUUGUGGUUUGGGUGGUUGUUGUUGUGGGCUCUUGACGUGAGGAAGUGAGAGGAAGUCUUAAGGUGGGCCAAGGUGGUUCCGGGCGUGAUGAUCUUUGCGGUGGGCGAAGGUGCGUGAUGGCGACUUGGCGUGGACAGGGGCACGAACAGGGUGGCGCAAACACACCACGGCUGUCUCGCGGGCCGCCCUCCUUCCUUGCCUGCUUUUUGAACGUUGUCCUUCUUCGCGUUCCCCUCCUCGCUGCCUUCCGCAGCUUCCUGCAGCAGAGCCGCUCCUAUGAGGAGGCCACCAACAGCCUGCUGGGCUGGUACCUGCGCAACGCCCAGACCGCGGCGCUCAGGUGCGGGCGUGUGUGUGUGUGUGUGUGUGUGUGUGUGUGUGUGUGUGUGUGUGUGUGUGUGUGUGUGUGUAUGUGUGUGUGUGUGUGUGUGUGUAUGUGUGUGUGUGUGUGUGUGUGUGUGUAUGUGUGUGCAAAUACCAGUCCUAACUAAACCAAACCAAGCUUGAAGGGGACGAGGCAAAGUGGGGCGUUGGAAUGGGGGCUUGCAUAGUGGGGUCGGAGGCUUGCACGCGAGUAAUAUUGGCGUGGUGCCGGCAAACAGGCCUGUCUGGGCAGCUGGCGGCGCCCACCGUGCUCCCGGACUCCCUGUACGGGCUUUCUUGCCGACCCUAGCCUUGCCCUCCCCCUGACUGCCUGCGGCUGCAGCUUCUCCUUUCCUUCCGGCAGUGGUUCACCGUUAACCCCUGACUCCCCUGCCUGCCCCUCCUCCCGUUGCAGCCACCCGCUACCGGUGAUGCGCGCCCGCGAGAUCGACCGCUGGAGCCAGAGCACGCAGUACAAGGGCCUGGUCAGCAAGAACCGCAACCACCGAGUCCAGGUCAUGACCUCGCCGCAGCAGCCGGGGCAGGGCGGUGCCGGCGCCGGCGGCAUGGGCUCUGCCAGCGGCAGCGGCAUCGCGGGCGCUGGGUCAGGGACCGGAGGCGGCGGCGUGAACGGCGUGGGUGGCAUGGGCAGCGGCAUGAGCGUGGCUGGCGUGGGCGGGCAGGUCUACAACAUGGUCCGCUCGCCCGCGCCGCUGCACGCCAGCAGCCCAACCGGCGCCACCGGGGGGCCCGUCGGCGGCAGCGGGAGUGCCGGCGGCGGCGGCCGGGGCGGCUCCGCCGCCGCUGCGGCCAUGCCUGGUGGCCGCACCGCCGCCGCGGCGGCGGCGGCCGCCGGGCCUGCGCCGAUGGGCCCCACGGCGGGUGGUGGUGGCGCUGCGCGCCCGCCGCCCAUGAUGACCCCCGCGGGCCUGUGGGGAACGUCGCUGGGUGGCGCCAAGCCGCGGCGGUGAGGCCGCAAGGCGGUGGGGCUAGGAGCAGCUGCAGUUGCGUUUGUUCAUGCCGCUGACGUGUGACAGAUGUGGCGUUUAACGUGCUGCUCGCUAGCUUGCAGCUUUGCGGUGUCGCAUGCAGGCGAUCUAGGCAUGCAAUUGCUCGAGGUGUGGAAAUGGCUUCAUUACCAGUUUGCCAGUUUACCGCACGGCUACCAAACAGUUUUGUCUUACAGUUCGUGUGACCAUGACAGUUGACACGUAUCCAUACUCGCAUCCCAGCAACCGCACUUGACACCGGCAUGUGCAUCGCCGUGCGCAAUCAACAUCAGCGUAUGUUGAUCGGCAAAACAAACGGGGCCAGCUGCAAAUGAGUUUCACGCUAUGUGGCGUGGGUGACAUGCGUCGGUGACGUUCGUCUGUGUAUUCCCGAGAUUGCAUGUGUGCGCCUGGGGCGAACUGUCGGAACACUGUGACGGUGUGCAUCUUAGGAGCCGCACGUCUCUGUGUACGUGUACGGCGCUGGCAGCAGGUGCGCUGAUGGCGGUGAUGGAGCAGUUGGUGUGUCCAUGAGCGUAUUGGCAAGGGAAACUGUGUGUGCGUGUUACUAUUCUCCUAUAUGCCCCGCAAGUGAUGGGGCUGAUGGCAACGGGUCAAGUGAGUUCAAGGGGCGGUUGCUCUAGGGGAAGCCGCACGGCAGGCGGCUGCUGUACGGGCGGCGAGAUGGGCGCAUGGGGACGAGGAAGGUAGGCCCCGGCGGCGGUGCACGGUUGUGUUGUUGAGCUCCGUGGCAUGCCGUCAGUUGCUAUUGGUGUUGUUGUGUGUUCGUAUGUGUGUCCGCACCAUUGCGUGUGUGUCGUAUCAGCUGCAGGUGAGCAUUGCGGUGAAAGGGAAAGUGGCAUUAUGAAGCCAAGGACGGGCCUCCAUUGCCCGACUGGUGACUGCUUACGCUUUUCGCUACGUGUUGGUAUUUUGUGUCGUAGCGCUGGAGGGCUUACGUGGGUGCAAGAAGUGCAAGACGUGCAACAUAGCUGUGGGUUUAACUAAGCAGUUUGCGUGGGUUUUUGUACCAUAACACUGCAAGCGGCGGCUUUGGCUCAUCUCCACAAUAGAGCCAAAUGAACCGCUUACUGCGCAGCGCUAGGGGGGCCACACGCCACACGGCUACAAACGAGGACCUUUCGUUCAGCCGUGGUCAGGCACAGAGAUAUGCAGGCGCUGUGAUGGAGGUUGUGGGUGCGCGGUUCGAUGGCUCUUUGUAUGAUACGGUGGAACGUGUGUAGGUCAUCAAGGGCCGGGGAAUGGUGCAGGCGGAGGAGGCGCCACGUUGGCCGAAAGCGUUAAGGCGCUGAGGCCUGGGGUUCCAUGAAUCACUGGGAGACGGUGUGAGAGACUAAGGAAGUACUUAUGUUGGUGAAUGUGGCUGGGCUGUUCCUGGCUGCCGUGCUUGUGUUGGUCGGCCCUGGAUGCGGCGCUGUGGCAGCAGGCCUUGGAGUUUGAUGGGGCCCGGCGCGAGGCGCAGCGGUGACAGCAUCUGCAGGGGCCAUAACAUGCGCUCCCCCUAGCAUGUAAGGAGGUCUCUUUGAGUACUUCUGGCUUCCUGGCUCCUCCUGGGCCAGGGGCUCAUCACGGGAUGCCACGAAUCCUGGAUGUGCAAGCCGUGGUUCACAGGUUCCGAAGUAAUCACGUUGUUAGUCUGUUACUGAUAAUUUAUUUAUGUUGUUGUUGCAUUGUCCACUGAUUAACGCGCGGUAACACAGUGACCCUCUCAAGCAAGUUGAAUCGCCUAUGUCUGAUAGGAGUAAACAGGAUUCUGCUAAUCGUUAUGAAAUUCAUGCACACGCCGAAGCUGGCACGUCAGCUGACGCGCGCAAAGACAGCUCGGCGGUCGAUGUUGUUGGCACGCUCAACGUGAUCGCCCGAAAGCAGGGCUCGCAUGGAGCAUCCCUACGCUAUUUCGGCGGCUGUCUUGUGCUCGGUGGACUAAUUGCGUUGCUAUUUUUCGCCCCGGCGCUUUGUCCCCUUGCUUUCCUCGGGUUUGUGGUGACGUGCCUGCCAUACCGGGUGCACAGCUUCACCAAGCGCAAGUGGGUUUUCUUCCUCGUGGACUACUGCUAUGUGAGUUGCUCACGGGGCGGACAUGAUGAGCCGCAAGGGCGGGUACCGGUCUUGCUGAGCCUGUGGGGGCCUCUUGAUGGGGUCAAGGUCCUCUUCCCCACUUUCCUUGUAAGUCCACAACUUUCGUUUGGGUCCCUUCAUCAUAAACCGCAGUUCGCAAACCUCGCCGCCGCGGCGUUUCUGGUGUGGGCGCCCGCACAUGCCGGCUGGGAGGCUGCGGCGUACGCCAGUGUCGAGGGCCCGCUGGCAGGGGCGCUGGUGGCGUGGCAGUGCGCUUGGGUGAUGGGCUCGCCCGACCACAUCAUCACGUGAGCAGCCGUGCACGGCACUGCAAUGCUCGUGUGUUGUGUAGCUGUCGCCGGGGAUUCGGGGGCGUCAGGGGGCUACUCACGUGGGGUUCUCAGGACAGGCUGGGGCAGGCAUCGGGGGCUCUCCACUAGUACCGUGUUGCUGGCGUGGCUACCGGGUGGCCUGCUAGCCUCCGGCAUUGCGCCACAUCGCAGCCGUCUGCCCCUCAUCACCAACAUUACAGUUGACUGCGACCGCCGUGCCAACGCCGUACCAACGCCCAACUGCCACCCGCAGGGUGCUGAUGCACAGCCUGCCCGGCCUUGCGUUGUUCUGCCACCGCCGCCUGGCACACACCCGGCAGCCGCUGCAGCUGGCAGCGGAGCUGGCGGCGGCGCUCUGGCGGCCGGAGGCGGCGGCGCCACCGGUGCCGGGGCAGGCGGCGGCGGUGGCCACGUCAGCAGCAGCAGCAGCAGCAGCUUGGGGCCGGGGCGGUGGGAGUACGGUGGAGGCGGCGCCAGCCGGGUUCGGUGCUACAGCUUGGGAGGCGGCUGGGUCGCGUGCUACUGCUGCCGGCGCUGGGCUCUUGCGUCGCUUGGUGGCAGCGGCGGAUGUGGCCCGGGGACGUGUGCCGUGCGGCGCUGCAGCAGCAGCAGCAGCAGCAGCAACAGACGGGGCGGCGGGACCGGCAGCAGGGUUAAUGGCGUGCUACGCCAUGCCGCUGCCGCCGACCGCCUGCCCCGCGCCGGCGUGGCUGUGGCUGGCGGCGGCGCCGAUGCUGUUCUACUUGGCCUGGCAGCUGCUGUACUUCGUGGUAGUGCAGGUGGGGCGGCAAGCGGAGGCGGCGGGCGUGUGGGCCGGCGGGGUGGGUGGCAGGCGGCGAGGGCCGGGGUCGCGGCUUGGGAGGGGACGGCGGGCGGGGAGCGGUGAUUGCCAAUGUAGACCGGAGGCGUGGGGCGUGCCGUGGAUGUGUGCGUGGGGCGUUGGUGUGAUGCAUGUGAUGGCGCGGGGCGUGAGGGAUGGGACUUGAGGCAAGAGACGAGGGGCGUGGGCGUGGCGCUCAACCCUCCCGACAUGCCUCAUGGCCCGUACAGCGUGCAAUACACGUCGUCACGUACGUGCAUGCCGUACAGGUGUGCAGCCGUCGGCUCAUCCUGGCGCGCGGGUACGACACCAGCUACCGCUCUCUGGCGCGGCGGGCGCAGCGCUCGGGCUCUGCGCUGAACAGGCUGGUGCGGAGCGGCGGCGUGGCGCGGCGGCUGCUCAUGUUCGGUGAGUGAGCGUGAGAGGGAUGUUUGCUUGGUGGGGGGAGAGACCUCGUGGGGCGCGUGUGUGGAAGGGGUAGUUCAUUCAAACUCAAAAUGAACCAUUGCCCAGAACUCAAAGAACGGGAAAGAAGGGGUAUGGGCGUGCAUGGGUUUGCAAGCUCUUGAGUCCUUACUCCCGAUCGAAUACAAAGCCGGUGGAUUGGACGGCCCCUGCUGCUGAUGUUCUCGGGUGCGGUUUCAAGAGGGCCACACGCGACAUACCCGCAAAAGGCGCGCGGCCCGCUUGCGUCGUGCGCCUGCACCCUGGCCCCUUCCCUUCAAUUUCGUUUGACCCUCUCUCUGACCGGCGUCAUAACCUUGCCCUCGCCCAACCGUCAUGCCUGGAAUCCCCCUGGCCGCAGGGCUGCUGCAACUGCUGUUUACGCUGGUGACGCUGGCGCUGGCGGUUGCGACGUACCACAGCGUUGAGGCGGCGGUGGCGUGGCAGGUGGGGGCGUCUGGGGGUGGGCGGGUGGGAGUGCUGUGGCGUGGGAGUCUGAGGAGCGCGAUCAGUGGCAGUGGCAGUAUCGAAGCAGCGCGUACUGCAAUGGUGCAGUCUCUGGACGAGGAGGGAUGGGCUGGGCCCAAGCCUCAGCUCCAUGUGUGCUGCACCAUGCGAAUUCCUUGCCUCACACGCCAUGUUCCCCGCCAACCCGCCGCACAGGUCGUCAAGCUCCUGCUCCCCCUGUACCUGGGCGCAGUGCACACCUGCGAGCGGGCGCCCGUCCAGGAGCUGCGGGCGGCGGCGGCGCAGAUGGCGGCGGCGGGGCUGCUGGCGGCGCCAGCUGCGGAGGCGCUUAGGGCGGAGGCGCUCAGAGCGGAGGCGGCCGGGAAGCACAGAGUGGAGGGCAAGGCCCGGGGUAAGGUUGAGUAGGGUUAGGGUAGGUGAUGGGCGUUCCAGAUUGGAGGCCGCAGUCUCACUACCGCCACCCCUGGGUGUUUGGCGCCCCUGUACGGUAUGUCUAUAUAUGGAUUAUAUGUGGCCCUCUCUGGUGCAAGCAUGCACCAAAACGAAAGUAAGCCGUCCAGGGCAGGCGUGCUGACUUUGUUUGCCUUGCUGUGUGGCGUAGCGUUCCACCAAGCCGGUGCCAGGCAGCGUGCGCGUGUUCAAAGUCGGCAUAGGGUCGCUCGAUCUGUUCUGGGGAAAUGAUGGGGAAGUGAUUGGGGAAAUGGACGCCAGGGCUGGUGCCGUGCCGGUUGGAUGCUGCUGCAGCUGCUGCACCGUGUGUGUGCAUGCCUGCCGCUUAAUGCACGUGGGCUGCAAGUCUACCCGGAAUUAGAUGGGUACACAGUUACAUCCUGAGCAUGCACUCAACAUGGCAAGGGUUGCGGGGGGGGAGCACAGGGGUGGUAGCCAUGCGUGCGGUGCCGGGGUGGGUGGUAAAGUAGGGCGAGUGGGCGAAUGGGGUGUCCGGGAGGUAGGGGUGGCGAACGGGUACGUGUGGAACUGCCGCCAGCCAGGCCUGUGGCCCUUUGUAUGAUCGAUCCCCCUGCAAUCACCUACCACCGUGUGCACGUGCGCAAUGUUGGGCUGGUUGCGCAAGAGCGAACCCCGGGUCUGUCCAUCCGCGUGGAUGCAUGACGCGACACGACGCGAUCUGUGCGCCAGUGCCCGUAUCAUGUGGAUGGCUUUAGGCCCCCGUGUCUACACAGCGUAGAUGACCCCUCCCACGCCAUCUACGCCCGGAAACAUUUCCUAGGGGCACGCCCCUAAAAUCCCCAAACCAUCUACGCUCCUUGUCUAAAAUACCGCCAAGUCCGCCCAAAACGUCUACGCUCCGUAGAUGCGUUGCCCUAAACCCCAAACAAUUUCUCCAGGCACAGCGUAGAUGGAACAUACGAGCACUGUUUAACACACACACACACGCAAGCGGCGAGCCGGCGACCUGGCGGACUGGGCGCGACGACGAGCUCAACACGUUCGCGGCCACGGCUUGGGCCACGGUAUGUUUCUCUGAAGCCCGCGUCACAGGCGCGGGACCCCAUACAUCCGGAGCACGCGAUGUAUGCAUGCGCGAUGUACCCAUCGGUACCGUAUCGGUCACCUUCUGCGACAACCUGAUGGCUCUGGCGGACGGCGGACCUGGUCAUGGAGUACGGCCCGGUCGCCGAGGCAUACAGCGCGGCACUACCCUGCACCUACCCGGCCCGUGGACUGGUGGGUCGGCGGGCCGUCGUGUGUGAUCCUGGCGCGGACCAGUCGCCAGCUGCUGGGACAUGCCCCGUGUCCUCCCGCAGCUGGCGCUGCCGGGGCGGUCGGGGCCGCUGCUGGGCUAUCGACGUCCAUGGGUUCAUUGUGAGCAGCGGCCGGGUUGAUAAUUCAAUGGGCAUUCUUAUUCCUGUGUUGUUCAGGAGCUUACUUGCUCAUGGCGUUGGGUUCGGGGUUGGCAGCAUUAGCCGUGCGUGAGGCGGGAUGUGAGUGCGGCUGUGCGGGUGGUAGCCCACGGCGCUGUUGGCAUGGGUCGGCAGCAUGUGCAAGGGAUGGUGGGUCUUGGGGGUGUGGGUAGCAGAUGCGCAUAUGUAUUGUCAUGUCUUUGGCGAGCGCCUGGACCAUUGAGCGUGCCGUUUCGUAUCCCCGCGUGCCCACCGGCAGGCUCUCAUCGCCAUUGGUGAGCCGCUGGGCAGCAUGGUCAAUGGCUGCGUGGUCCCGGGUGAGUAGGUCCUCAGGGGUAGUGCGCGUGCUGGUUUCUGCAAUGCGUGCGCGUUGCGCUGCAUGUUUUGUAACGCGCCGUGCGCGUGUAUCUGGUUUUGUCGUGGCCGGCGUGUUUUGGCCGGCUUGCGGGCUGUGGCGCUUGCGGGCUGUGGCUGGGGGCCGUCGGGAGGGCUGCGUUGCCCCAUCGGCGGGGACUUCCGGUGCCGCAGCAGGGCCUUGUGCGCCGGGUUGGGCCUCCUGGGCUUCCCCUACUGGGGAGGGGGGGGGGGGCGGUUCGGCUGGGGCUUGCGUAGUGUUUGCUUGGGCGGGGGCCGCCUCGGGGAGGGGCUGGAGGAACCGCUCGAGGGGGUUGGCCAUUCCAAGAGGGAGGGGGUCCGCCCUCAUGGCUACGGCCACGAUUGCGGCCACGUCAGGCAGAGUGCGCUGUGCGGUGGUUAGGGGGGGGGCAUGGCUGCCGAUGGCUGGAGCGUUUUCCCCUGCACGUCCAGCCAUACUGAGAGCAAGGCUAUCAGGAGCCAUGGGCGCCGAGGUAAACGUGGCGGCAUCAUUGAAGGACAAUCUUCGGGGGGGGGGGGUGCCGUCGAGUGGGCUCCUCGUCCGUGGGACAUGCUUUGCACGCAUGGUGCUGUCGUCGUGCUCAUCAGACGCAUGAGCUGUAAUGCGCAGUCUGUCCCCUAACCACGCAGUGUAGGGGGAGGCUGGCUAGGGGUCGCUGCAUCUUUGUAAGGGGCCGGGGCAUGUCACGUUCGGGCGCGGCACAUUCGUCACUGAUGGCCGGGAAGGGCGAGGUAUGGCGCAGUCUUGUUAUUGGCCUGCGGUUAUCGGCCACAAGCUGCACAUGCCCGCGCUUCGGUGCGCAUUGGGCGCGGCUGGUUUAGGGUGACCCGCCGAAGGAACCGACGAAGGGCGCUGACACGGCAGCUGGCGGGAUGUACUCCGCCGCCGCUGCGGUGUCGUCCACGCCCUGCUUGUGCCUCAUUUACGUGCGCGUGUUCUACGGGGGCUGUGCUGUAACGAGUUACGAUUGCCUCAUAUGGGGCGAUCUGGUGGUGGGGGGGCUCGUCAUUUUAUCGAGGCAGGGCAUUAACCGGGGCUGCUAUAGUUUGAGCACCUGCCGGUGCAUUGCCGCCACUUCAUACGGUUCGAACAACGGCCAAACCGCCCCACGCACACCAGCUUGCAACAGCGCUGUUGCGUUUCGACCUGCUUUCGACCCGCGCCCGCUCCAGCUGCCGCCUUUGCUGCUGCAUCCUGCUGGAGCUCUGCUGUGCGUCUGCUCGAGAUGCAGCAGCCCAGCCGGUGAGACGGGCGCUUGAGCGUUUGCGGGGGGUGGCGCUUUGUUUCGGCGGCAGCUUCCCGGGACAGUUGCGACUCCUGGCGCGUUUGCUGCUGCACGGUGGUUGUGCUGCUGCUUGUGAUGGCUGGCCCUACUUGUGUAAGAGCGGUGCUGCGUCGGGGCGCUGACUCGACUUCGCACUUUUCCCGCCCCUUUCCUGCUGCGAGGACCGGCAGGCGUUGACCUUGGGCCGGCUGAGGUCAAGAUGACCUCCGCCGACGCGUACCACAUGCUAGCGUUGAUGAGCGUGCUGGCGGCCACCGGAAAAGCCGCGGCCAAAAUCCAUGAGGUCAUUAAGACCGUCGGCAAUGAGCUAGGCACUUGCAUUGGGGUGUGUGUGUGUGCGGGGGAGGGGGGGGGCAAGGGGGGGUGCGGUCACAGGGUGCGUGGGGUUGCAAAGAACCUAAAGAGAGGCAGCUUCGCCGACUCAGAUCACCAAAAUGCCUCUCUGCAGCUUCCCUGCACCCUCACCCACCCUGUGACCCACUGCCUUCGCACCCCCCCUAACCCACCCACCCACCCACCCGCCACUGAUGCCAGUGCCUAGCUCCUUGCCGACGGUCUUGAUGAUCUCAUGGAUUUUGGCCGCGGCUUUUCCGGCGGCCGCCAGCACGCUCAUCAACGCAAUCAUGUGGUACGCGUCGGCGGAGGUCAUCUUGACCUCAGCCGGCCCAAGGUCAACGCCCGGUGCCAGCAUGGUACCGGCACCUGCAUGACGCCGCCAAACAGAUUGCGCUGCAGUGCGACGGCAUGUUGGGGAGUUGGGGAGGCGGCGUCGUGGGGAGUUGGGACUGGGGAGCACCGUGGCUAAUAGCGGGGCUCAAGGGCUGGAGCAAGGGGGCGCAUCAUCAAGUGCAUUUUCUUGUAAUUGGGAUGCCCCCCCCCCCUGCUCGAGCUCAAUGCGACCGCAAGGGCUUCUGCCCCUCCUCCUUCGGUAGAAGGAGCAAGCCAACGCGCCAGGAGUCACAACUGUGGGAAGCUGCCACCAAAAGUGCCACCCCCGCAAACUCUCAAGCGCCCAUCUCAUCUGUGCAUGCUGGCAGCCGCCGGUGGCAACAAUCCAGGAAUUCAUCAAGACUGCAGCAAGGAGCUAGCACUGGCGUGAGUUGGGCGGGAGGGUUGGGUUAGGGGGUGGAUGCGGAGCCGGUGGGUCACAGGUGGGCGGUGGGCGGGUGGGGGUGCAGGGAAGCUGAAGAGAGGCAUUUGGUGAUGUGGAUCGUCGACCUGGAAGCUGUGUGGGUGCAGUGGGUGGGGCUGUAUCCAGAGGCUGCGUGCUGCAGGCAGCCUACACAUCCCCCAGCCUGCACAUCCCCCAGAUGCAUCCCCCAUAUGCAUCGCUUUACAGACACCUGCGCGCCGGCCCAGCACGCGUGUACCCUCCCUGUUGCUGCGCCCCUCAGGGUCAAGGGGUGGUCUUCACCGUGGUGGCGCGGCGCCUGGAGGGCCGGUCUUCCGUCAUGGUGGUGCCGCCUCCGAACUCGCGGCCGCCGGCUGCUAAGAAUAAGGCAACGGCAACAAUGGAGCGGCUGCUGAAUAAUGAUGACAUAUCGUGGCAGCCCAACUCAAGUACUCCUUCGUGGAUUUCCGUGACCUGCACUACGGCAUCAUCGGGAUGCUCCUGGUGCGUGCGUGCCUGCAUGCGCGUUUCGUGCGUGUGUGGGUGUGUUGUAUGUAUGCGUACUUGCUUGCGUGCGCGUGCGCAUGCGCUUGUGCGUGUGCGUGUGCGUGUGCGUGCGCGUGCGCGUGCGCGUGCGCUUGUGCUUGUGCGUGUGCGUGUGCGCGCGUGUGUGCUUUGACUGUUAAGGAGGCGGCUCCAGAAUGCCGACAUCGAGGUUCAUUGUCAGGGGCGCCAGAACCAGCAGAAGCUCCUCAAGCAUCCGUAUGCCAGCGCACGUGCAUGUGCGUGCCUGCUGCUCCAAAGUGCCAUUGCUUUGCUGUCGGUGCAGGCACUCCUCAGAGAGGAAUCCCCCGUGCUGCCCCCUGAAUCCCCCGCCCUUACCACAGGACCUCGUCCUGCGCAAUGUCCUGCUGCACGCAACUUGUGCGCACGGGAUCAUUAUUACCGUAAGUGGCUGCUGUGACCUGCACAUGUGCAAUAUGUUUGUUGCAAGUAUGCGUCUGCAUGCAUGCAGGUUCACCUGCUUCCAGUAUAUGUAGCUCAGCCUAUCCAACCCCCUCCCUCGGGCCCGCGACGUGCCGUUGUACAUUCUAUUCAAGACAGCCCUUGGGCACAACUGACUGCACAUGCAUUUGUCUCCACGCAGGACGGCCGCACGCCGCUGCCGCUGCUGCCAUCCAGUGGCUAUGUGUGCACCCAGCAGGGCGUUUAAAAUGGUGGAUGACAACCGCGCGCACGGAUGGGGGACGUGCCAAGCUCGCCGCGAUCGCCGUCGGUCUGCGCGACUUCAUGGCGGAACGGGUCAAGGACUCCACCACUCAAUCGCUGCAAACGGAGCUGGACAUGGGCACAUGGCGGUGGCCGACCUGCUGCGAGGAUGCUGGUCGUGAGCGCCGCCGUUCGGUAGGUCGGGCUUGCGUGGCAGCUAUGCCUCGCUCCUAGUGUGGCUAGCGGUGGUGUUGCGUUACGACGGGUCUCCGAUGGUCUCCAAUGGCCCGGGAGGAAGGUGUGCAGUGCGUAUGUUCUGUGUUCCUCUGCCGGCUGAUACCGUACCGUGCUCCCCACCCCUGCACUGAACGCGCUAUGCCCGACGCUCUGCGUACUCCACGUCCAUCCCAUUGCAGGGCCAGGCGGCGGCUGGCGCUGCGACGAGUGAAGGCGGCGGCGGGUGGUGCGUGGCGGCGGGGCCGGGGGCCACAGGGAGGCAUGCGCCGUGCUGCGUGGGGAGCGGCUGUGGUUCGUGUGUUGGGUAUGUUGGGUGUUUGAGGUUGCGCGACACGGGGGCGCCUGUGGUGACAUGGUGAUGUACUUGCGGCAGUGGAUCAGACCUUGAGUGCACGUGCGCCGGUGCGGUAUGGUGGAGCUGAACACCUGGGUGCAUGUGCGUAUGGCACAUACAGUAGGCGCCGUGCGUCCCUGGCGCUGGCUCUUUGCGCUUAGGAGUUAGGGUGUGAGUGGGGAUCAGACGCACGGAUUGCCGUGUUGCAGAAGCUCUGUGAUGUACGGUAAUGGAUGGAUGAUGAUUUGGCACCACGGCGUUUUUGAGUGCACUCCGUGGUGUGACGGUGUCGCGGAGAAGCGUCGGUAGAUGAUGAGCUGCAAGGAUGGUGAUGAGCCCUGGACGAUGACGGCGUCCCACCCUGUGCAAGUGCGACGGGCGACGCUGAAGGUUGCGCGUUCUGGUGCGCGGCACGGCUGGUUCUCCGGCUCUCGCCCGGUCCAGACUGCUAGCUGUUACGUUUUGGUACACCUAGUACACCCUGGAUACACCUCGCCUACCCGCCGGGGAGGGCCUCGUGAUUCCGGACUGCGCAACCAUGGCGUAAAGCGCGGCCAGCGCGACCCUGCUCCGGCCAGACUGACACGAAACACGUCGAAAUUCCUGGCACGCCAUAGAGACAGCACCCAGCUUCUGAGCUUCCGCAACCAAACGCCCAUCCGGCUGUGGCGUCUUUGCACGCGCACUGCUGUUGCCCUUUCGCCCACCUGUCGUACUUGCGCAUCCUCCCCGCCUGCUUGCUUGCCUGCCGCCUUGCUGCUUGCUCACUUGUCGCCCGGCCCUUUGCAUUGACGCGAGCUGUCCGCACAUCAGCUCUGCUCCUCGACGUCCGCGGCUCACCCGUGGACGUGGCUGGACUGCAUCGCGUUGCUUCCUCGUCCCGCACAAGCGUUGGUGGCAGCAGUGGUGGUGGUGGUGGCGGUGGCGGCUGUAUCAAUGGCUGUACCCGGCCGUGUACGGCGCUGUCGAUCUUGAGCUGCUGCGCCUGGGCGACUGUGGCGGCCGCGCGCGUUUGGAUGCCGUGCGGGACAUGGGAUGGGUGCGGGCGGCGGCACCUCCUGUCUUUCCGCAAGACGGCAGUGCUUCCGCGGUAACUCAGAUGGGACCCGCAACUUCUUUGCUUGUCUGCUAUGGCUUUGGACGAUAUGCCGGUGGCGCGGAUGUGCACACAAAGGUGGAAGGUCAGGCCGUUGCCGCCGCCGCCGGCACUUUUGCCCCGCUGUCGCCAGUGUAGUUGGAAAACUGUAACAACGGUAGCACUGUGGAUUGCGGUUUGUUGCAGCCAAUGCAUGUUGGGCCUCCCCCGUGCAUGCGUGCCACCAGGAGACGUGCUGGGCGGGAGGCCCCGGUCCGAUUCUGGUGAACGGGUGACAAGAAAAGGUGGCUCUCCCUUGCAAGGGAAAAGUGGGCUGAGCCCACGCCACGUCCUCCGUCUGAGGCCGAAGGCUCCGAUACGAGCCUCAUCUCCCGGACAUAGCCGGGGUCGGUUUGUACAGGCACCGCCCGCCAUAUGUGUCCAGUCGCGCCCAGCUAUCAAGCACUAGUGCAGCAGGCAGCAGGCCAACCAAGGAAAACACCCCUGCCGCUGCAGCCGACUGCCCGCUACGCCAUGCUCGUCAGCACAGGUCGCUAACCAGACAACACCGGCAGGUCUCAACCUGCGCGCCUGCGCCGCUUUGAAGGCGGCGCCGCGCUGUCCUCCUCCACGUGGCCUUGCCCGCCCCCUCUGCUCCGAACAUGCGCGCCGCCACUGCCGCUGGGCCCAGGGCCGCCCGUGCCGCCGCCACCACCGGGCCCAACGCCGCCGUGGCCGCUGCUGUUGCCGCCGGUAGGCGCGGUGCCACCGCCGCCGCCACCGCCGUCUCCAGGCCCUGCACCGCCGCCACCGCCGCCGCCAGGCCCUGCACCGCCACCGCCGCCAGCAGGUCGCAGGGCUGCAGGCCGCGGUUUGCCAAGCAGCAUCUCCAUCAGCGCGUGCCGCAUGUUUGUAGCCGAGUUGGCGUCACGGCCCUGCAGUUCAACAUGCAAACAGGGCGUGUGUCAUCCCGUGUGUCACCCCGUGUCAUCUCCAAACCGCCCUGUGUCAUCCCGUGUCAUCCCGUGUCAUCAUCUCCAAACCGACCUGCCGCCCCAAACCUGCCAACCCACUUACCCACACAGUCCCGCAGUGUUGGCACACUUGGACGUCGCCGGCACGCGAGCCACCAAACGGAAUGAACGGGUGAAAAAAACAACCAAAACAAGGAACAGCGUGUCGUGCCGUGCGGAAUGCAGGGUCUGCAUUGGCUACUGCCAUACCGUUGCUCCAACGUCACAGCCGCCGCAUGUUGUGCUCCGGUACGGUACCUCCUGCCCCGCCUGUCAUUCCAUGCCGUCACGCCGUGGCCACGGCUUUCAACACAGCGCCCCAACCUCACGUGCAGCACGUCACCGGCAUUACCGCUCCUGCACGCACAACGCCGUCGCUGACGCCGGGGGCCUUGCCCCGUUCUUGGUGGCAGUGUGUGUGGUGGUGGUGAUGGUGAUGAGGGUGUGGCGCACCCUGCUACAGUUAAAUGCGCGUACCGUAGCUUGCGGCAGCAUCCAGCCGUCGCUGCCGCCAGGGGUCAUGCCACGUUGCGACGUUGUGGUCUGGUCUUGGUGGUGCUGGUGAUGGCAGUGAUGGCGUUAAUGAUGGGGUGUGUGGCGUGCCAAUGCGGCAAAGAAGCAGAAACGUGCGUGGGCUGCCGAUAGUGCCGAAUGCGCGGAGAUGGGCCACGGCCAGCGCCACUGGUGGGCAGCAAGUGCGGGCUUAGACGGAUGAAGGGGAAGACACGAGGGCGGGCAGGGGAAGCAAUGAUCGAUUGCCUUUGUCUUGCCUUUCAGUCUUAGCCACUUUGAACCUCGUUCUACAGCACUAUGUCGGCCUGUUGCCCAAUGCCUCACGCCCGCAUCCGAUGCUUUGGGCGCGCCAACAGGCACGGGUGAACCUGUCGGCGUGAACCUGUCGGCGUCUUGCACCCUCCGCACCUAGCCCUCUUCCGCCGCCCUAGAGCCGCAAUCCCAAGCGUCUCUCCCCGCCCGCUGCUGCGGUGCUGCGCAGCCCUUGGCGCGCCCUGGCCUGGCCCGCUGCCGUGGCGCCCUCCGCUGCCCCCGUGCCUUGGCACCCUCACCUGGUCCACAUCGCAACAGCCCCGGCUCCACGUGGACGAGCGGGGCCAGGACCGGACGAGCCGCCAAGCAGCAGUGCCAAUGUCACCGGGGCCUGUGUCCAUGCAGUCCCAGGUUGCAGCUGAUGUAGCUGCUGUCAGGCCUACUCGGGCAUGCGCCGCGCACGCACGGUCCUCACGGCGCGGAGAACACGGAGAACACGGCUGCACAGGAGAACCUACCAAGAGUUGCAGUCCUCAGGCAAUCCUCAGGUACCAAAACCAAGCCCGAACCUGCAAUCACUUGGGCCUGAUGCUCCCGGUUGCAGCUGAUCCAGCUGAGGCUUGCGGGGCGUGCACAACGCAUCGCCGCCAACCUGUGGUGGCAUACAGAGGCGGGAGGCCCUCAGACCCGACCAGGCUCUGCCGUGCUCUCUGGCUUAUGAGUGCUUGCAAUUUGUUCUUAGCGGGAAAGGGAUACGCGCUAGCUGCCUCCUCCAGGGUUUGCCAAAAGUUUGCGCGUGUGAAAAGCAAGACGCCUGUAACGCGUAAUCCUAUUCGUUGGAGCAAAUGGAUCUUAUACAUAAAGAAGUUGCAGGUGUGAAUCGCAGGCCGAGGGGCUUCAUACUAAUGCCGACCGGGGCCCCAUCAUGCAAGUUGUACACCUGGAUGCCCUUUUGCCCAGUCCCGCACAAUUCUAAGGUGUUUCUCGCUCUGAGCUUUUACCUUAGUACUUUAGGGGGGCCUUCCGACUUGGGCACGUGCUAACUAACAUAGGAGCAUCCCUUGACUUGUUGAUCAUUAUGGGAGGACCUGAUUUUGACGUAGUUCGUGUCACGCAGUGGCGGUGCUCCUGUCCGCGUGGCGUAAUGGCGUUGCGGGCUUGCGGAGUUGCGGGCUUGCGGCCGUGGCCGUGGUCCUGGCGUGGAUUCCACUGGAUUCCACUGGAUCGAGACCCGGUGCAAGGCGUGCAUUCUUUUCUAUUUUGAAUUAUCGCGUCGUGUGUGUAUGUGUGUGUCAGGGCAUGUGAACACACCCCGACUGUGAACACACAAGCAGCUAGCUGUUCACGCGGUCGAGAUGCCUCCAGGCGCCGUGUCAAUUGCUGGCGCUACAUGCAAGUGCUGUUUACUUAGGACAUGUUUAUUCCCAGCAACCCAACACAGGGCAUGCCCCGCCAAUUUAUUAGCGUACGACGGGGGAUGAGCCCCGCGUCUCAAAAUUGUAAAGCCAACUUGGCUCAGACUGCUUAUAGCAUACUUUUAUCCGCGUUAGCUGCCUUCGCGCCCACGCCGAGUACAGUCCCGCAGCGAGAGAUGUGCCUGCAGCCUUAUUUGCAACAUAUUGCCCCGCAAACUGUCUACAGUACUCGCUCGCUACGUUCAAUACCGCGUAGGCCAUAAUAGCGCCAAAGCGAGCCUGCGGGCCGCAAACUCUGAGCCGACUCUGCGCCGAUUCUACCGAACCAGCUGAGCUGAGCCUCGGAUAGCCUGAUGGGUGACCUGGACCGCAACUACCGCUAUAGUUAUGAUGAAACCGAUGUCAGCAUGUUGGGGGAGGAGGGCAACGCGAGCGAUGCGAUGAGCUGGGAUGGGCCCGAUGGCGCUGCGGGAGCUGGCCACGGUGAUGCCGACAGCGUCGUGCUUAGGGGUGACGCCGAAGCAGAUGUUACGGAUGGCUACGCCGAUCUGCGCGUGGAUUCCUGCCACGAGGAGGCAGCGGACCCAGACUCGUCCGCUGUGCUUGCGGUGCGCAAUUCAAAACGUGACCUGCGUGUGCAGCAAGCAAUUGUGUACUGUAAAUUUAGCGAGGUGGCUGGGUGCGGGCACGACGGGCGUUGGGGUAAACAACUUGCCGCUGCAUAUGUGGUGCUUGUGCCUGGGAGUCGUACAUCAAUAUGCCCACACUGCAAACCGCCGUGCCGACGCAGGAAGUCCCGAAAGUUGACUGCCAGUGCACAAUUUUGACAGCAGCAGCGCCAGGCACCCGCGUCACCCGUGCUGAGGUGGGUACGCUUCGAGGUAGACAGGAUGCCGUUGAUUUGCAGCCUCCCGUGUAGGAACCUUGUCGUGCGAGGAAUGCUGGAGGGGGGUCAUAUCUGGCAUUUGCCGCGUCGUGCGUGAUUAAGACUUGGCCAUACGCGUGCCAUACGUGAUGCAGGAUGUGCUCACCGGGUACUUGUCCAAGUGCGGCGCCACAGCUCAAGGUGGUGAGCGUGCGCAAUCAAUAGCUGUUCGCAACGUCUUGAGCCUCGGGCACCACUUCAAAUGAGCAGGGGCAAGGGCUACAGUGCAGCGCGCGUAGGCGUGCAUCACCAGCUAGCGUGAUCCUCUGUUGCUCUUUUAGAGACUGCGAUUUGGGUUUCCACCUGAGGUCCUGACGCUACCCGCUUUCCUGUUGUCGUCCUGUUCCUACCUGCAGGCGAAGGCAACGGCGCCACAGGCCGUGAUGUGUUCCCUGGGCCGCACCCUGGCAGGACCGCCACACAGCCACCGCCUGCUGCAGCUGGUGGCACGGUGAGCUGCGUAAUGCUGUUGCGGGGGCUUGCUCCAUCCAUUGAAUGUACGGGCCGUGCAGGGCAAACGCCCAAGAGGUGGGCAGGGCCGGCGGCAGGGACGUACCGUGUUGCUUGAAUGCUGGCAGCUGAUGGCAUGACUAAGGUUGGGGGUACUGCGCACAACCGCAACCGUACCACACACUGCUGCGAUGCCGUUUGAUAAGUGUGUAACUCCCGCCACCCCUCGUCCCUUCACUGCUUCCGCAGGACGCCACGGAUGCAGGGAGCUCGGGCGGCCCGUCUGCCGCUGCGUCAUGGGAGCGGCUGGGGGCCCGGCGGAGCGCGCUGGCAGCCGCGGAGCACAGCGAGGCGGGCAUCGCGGCAGUGGCACCCGCGACCGCCGACAUGCUGGAUACGGAGGAGGGCGCGCAGGUCCAGCGCGGCGCGGCAACGCCGGCCAGUGGCGCAGUGAGUUCUGCAGGCGUGCAGGGUUGGGGAGCAGGCUGUGUGGCUGUAUCCUGCGAGUCUGCCUGCACAUGUGAAGGCGAGGCCGACUUGAGCGGGGCUGGUAAAGGCCAUAACGGGCAGGAGCAUCAGCGAGGGUGGGGAGGUAGCGGUGUCGGCGGCAUCCUGCAUGGGGUCAGCUGAUGACCCAGUUUCAUACUGCAUGCCGGCGCGGCAUCCUGAUCGCAUUGUCCGGCUUGGCGCUACAGGAAUUGCCGCGGCAGGAGGGCGGCGAGGACGGCGUGGCCGCUGAGGAGGGGCUGUGGCCCACCACGGCGUAUGAGGAGUGGUUGCGCGCCCGGCUGCGUUAUGCGCUGUGGCGCAGCCAUGUGGCAUGCUGCUCUAUGCUGCACGGCAUGCCGGGGGGCCCGGCAGCGGAGGAAGGGGAGGCGGCGAAGGCGGCGGAGGCACCCGCCGCCGCCGCCAUGCUGCUGGACGCAGAGGAGGGCGAGGAGGGGCGGCAAGCCAUGGCACCGCCGGCCAGUGGCGCAGUGAGUACCGCGAGCAAGGGUUGGGCAGAGGGCUGCAUGGCUGUGUCCUGAGAGUCUGCCGCGAGGCCCCUGAAGGACAAGGGGCGGACGGCUUGGCUGCGUGUGGAAAAGCAUGUUCGGUUUGGCUGGCGCGAGCAUGAAGAUACCAUGUGCAUGGGCCCAAACUUUCUUGCUUCCUUAUGCGCCGGAUCGGCGCUACACGCCCGCACCGAUGUCAGCUGGCGCAUGCCGCUGGGCUUUUUCAUCUAUGCCACUCGUCGCCAAUUCAUAGCGGCCCCAGCAGUCGGUAACUAUCCGCCCUUGACGAUGCCCUUGCACCCUCUCCCGCCCUCUUUAUGUUCUUCGUGUCACGACCAGGCGGCAAGCGGUGGCGGCGGCGGAGAGCUCCUCUUUGAUGACCUGCGGGCGGCGCUUGCAUCGGUGUCGUCCUCCUUGGGGCGGGGCUCGGCGCCAUUCGCGGCGUGCGCCUGUGACCCCGGCCAGCAUGGCGAGGCCCGGCCGUCAUCAGACCCUGUGCGCACGCCGCAGCCGCCACAGCCUGCAGCCGCGCUGGAACUGCUGUCCCCGGUCACCUGCUGCAGCGGCUCAUCCGCAGAUCUUGCAGCGGUGCAGCGGCAAGGUGCGGCGUGUGCUGCGGCUGCUUCGGCAGCAGCGCCAAGCCCACGCCCACUGCCGUCAGUGGCGGCGGAGGUCCAGACGCAGCAUCCGGCGGCAGCAGCAGACAACGAGCCGGCUGACGGCACCACGCCGCAGCGCUCGGCUAAAGAGGUGACGCCCCAGCAGCCGAACGCGCAGCAGAGAGGAGUCGCGCCGGUGCGGCUGCUGCCUCGGGUGGACCGGCUGCCCCGUAUCGCCAUGACGCCGGUAGGCGCGCGCAUGCAUGGGCGGGAUGGACAGCGGGCCGAUGACACGCAUGCAUGGGCACGCCGCCUAUGCUAUCUUUGGGCUUGCGUGAAGCAUGGGGCGCAUGGGGGUGCUGCUGUUGUUGCUGCAUCGUCCUUCGCACUCCCUAUGGCAAAUCGAACCUGUCCUUAUCUAUGGCGUUCUCUUACGCAUGUUAUAGAAUGCAAAGCUGUGGCAGCACAACGCGCGGUAUAACACAGCCGCCAAGGCUGUGGUGGACAUCGUGCUGGGCGUGGUGGCGACAGCAGAGGAGCAGCAGGGCUCGGACCUGGGCCCUUGCUUCUACCUGACGGCCACCGCCGUCCUGCUGCUGAGCCUGGUGCUAUUGCACGGCCUCGAAGAUCCAUCCACGCAGCCCUGGCUUAAACGGGGCACCCAGAAUAUGGAGGAACUGGUGGCGCAGCUGGAGAGGUGGGCGUCCUUCAAGGACCUCAACCUCGACACGUGCAUCCGGUACCUGUGGGCAGGCGCGCCAGACUGGCCCAAGGUGGCGCAGACCCUGGCCGCGGUCAGGGAAGGCCUCACCCUCAACCACAUUUGUAAGGUGUGUUCGGCCAUCGGAAUGACGUGGCGCGCGCUCGUGUCGUGGAAGCAAUUGCCGGCCCGCAUUCUGACCCGCUAAACGUGCCCUGUCCUGUGUGUGCAUUUACACAGGGCAGCUACAACGCAGUUUUUUGGGUGGUGGGCAGGGGUGACUUGCUCACGAGACAGCCGCUGCAUAAUAUCGAUUCGGACCUGCUGGCGGCCGUCUACAACCAAGGGCCAGCGCUGCUCCGCCACCUGCGUGCGGCCUGCGCGAUUCACCGCGACAGUAAGCAGCCCAUCGGUGUGCGCGUCAUGGGCCUGCUGCCGGUGGUCAACAGGCGCGUCCCGGACCUCACCACCGGCGAGGCGCUGCGGAGCCUGUGCGCAGCGAAGGGUAAAGUGGCGAUUGCCAUGGUGUUGGAGCGACUGACGACCGUGGAGGAGGUCGCGAAGGCGCUGGCAGCGUACACCGUGGCCCGUGGCCCGUGGCAGGUGAUUGGGCGGGUUGCACGCGCUUCAUUCAUGCCCGGUGCCAGCAAGCGUUUAGCCCGCAGCUUGCGCACAGGGCAGCUUGUGCAGCGUCUUCGUUCCAUUGCCAUACAUCGAUGGCAAACCGUAUGAUCCCUCGUGCACCGCGUGCAGGAGGGUGUGUGGCCGCUGGGCUUGGGGCUGGCGCUGACGAGAGGCGUGCUGAGCGCGACGGGUCAUUUGAUCAAGCUGGGGCUGCACCACGGCGAUAUCAAGGUUAACAACGUGGGGUUCACCGACCUCAAGCAGCAGCCGUUCCGCGACGCGACGUUUCUAGACAACGACGACCUGAGCCAGGACCCAAAUGGGCGUGUGCACAGGUACCACACCUCUCGGUUCACGGCCCUGGGGGCGCAGCAGUGUAUAAACAGCGGCAACAUGUGGUGCCGCCCGAGCUUGCGGCUACAGGGCAUGGACCUGCACCAGGUAGAUGUGUCUGUUGUGUCGGUCCGACGCACGCAUGGACACUAAGCACUGCUUGCUUGGCCGUAAGUGCUUGCAAGCUGGCGCAUUCGCCUGGCUUGGCUGACUAGCUAUGGCCCCGGCUCUCUCCUGCGCAGGUGCAAGGCUUUCAGGCCACGCUGAUAGUGCUGCUGCUGCCGGAGGCGGUGCUUUACCAUGCCAACGACGGCUGCGUCAAUUUCUUUAGUUUUGUCCCGGCGCUGUGGAACACCGGCCACGGCGGCCUAGGCGUGCUGUAUCCCAGCCAGCUGAUGUCCGCCGUGCUGGCGGGUGUGCUGGGGACUCUAAUGCACCCGCUUGCCGACAAGCGCAAGGGCCUGCCGGAGCUCAUGCCGCGCGUCCACAGCCUGUGCAGCGCCAUGGACGAGUGCGAUUUCUGCCUUCGCGGGCUCACUGACGCCGGCGGGUGCCUGCGCGUGCCGGUGCGUGGUGCCCAACCGAUGUGUUAGUUAAGGUUGGAUUCGCAUGCCGUGAUCCUGCCGCUCGGGCAUGGGUGAAACCCUACGUGGUUGUGCUGCUGCUGUCUUUCAUUGUGGCCACACAUGCACAUCGGUGGCCCCUGGUUGCAGAUCGGCGCCGGGCCGCUGGCCCACCUGUGCAGCCCGCCACAGACCGACGUGCUGCUGCGCCAGCUGCUCUCGGCGCUGGAGGAGUGGCGCGAGGACCCGUUCAUGGCGGCCAACCUGUUCCAGGUGAUUACGCUGCUGCACAAGGCGGCCCACUGCACCUGGCCCGCCGGCCCCGUCAACGACUUCAUGCAGCGGGUGCUGCUGCUGGCGGUGCUGUGCGACAUUGUGCGCGUGGAACGCCAGGCGGAGGCUGGGCUAGAGCGACCGGAGCUGCUGCUGCUGUACAAGGUGCGCGCUGCUGUACAUAUUGGGCCCCUUACAUGUCAUGACACCCUUGGUAGAUUGUCUGGAUGGGUUGCGAAUUGAGUGCGUGCGUGCGUGCUUGGCCUGCUGUUUGUGCUGCAGGGCAAGCAAGGCGACCGCGAGCGCACGCUACUGCACCUGCUGGGCGCCACCGGAAGCACGCAGGGCUACCUCACCAUUCUGCGGGCUCUGGCCAUGGCUGGCCUUUGCUUUGACCGCUAUAAACGUGUCAUGAACGCGGUCGACCAGGUGAGUGUCCGAGACACCGGGGCGGGGUGCUGGCUUGAUUGCUCGUCACCUAUGCCUGAUGACCCAAGCUGGUGUGCUGGAUCCCGUCACCCACUGCAGAACGGAUACUCGCCGCUCAUGCUGGCGGCCGUGCAUGGGCAGCACGCGCUCGUCAUGGCGCACAUCAGCUUUGCAAAGGAGCAGCUGGACGAGGAGGCGCAGCAGCUGCUGAACGAGGCCCUGUCACCCGACCUACGUAAGGUCAGCGAGCGUGCGGUGUUACAGCUGCUGGACGGGCUGGUCCCGCAGCCGGCCGCCCUGGGAGGCCUGCUCACCAUCCUGUGCUCUCAGUUCAACGGACACAACGACCAGCUUCAGAAGCUCCUGGCGUACGUGCCGCCGGUACUGCGGCUGCCAGAGGUGACCGGCGGGCAGGGCGGCGGGGCAAGCAGCAGCGGGGCGGGCGGCGAGGUGGCUGCGGGCGGGCUGCUGGCAGCCGCACAUGCGCACCUGGGCGCGUCCCAGGAGAAGCUGGAGCAGGCGCUCGAGGACUCCCGCCUGCAGCCGCUGCUGCGCUGCCUGCGUGGGCCGGUUCAGCCGGCGGCAGGCCAGGAGGCGGGACCCCACAUUGUGGAGCAGGUGGCGCGCGGCGCGCUCAAGCUGUUUGCGACGGCCGCAGAGCUGCCGCUGACAGACGCGGUCGUGAAUAUUGGAGUCUAUGUACUGCCGGCUCGGUUACUCACGGCAAAGGUGACUGGCGCCCGUAUGGAUUUAGACAGGUCGCGCCCUGAUGCAACUAGCUAUACAGAUGCCGCAACGGUCUGGGAAACGUCGGGCGUUGCGCGGAUGCAUCCAUACCCAUUCGCACGUGUGCGUCUUGCUCUGCAGACCGCUCGGGAGCUGGGCGCGGACACCCCCUUCCAUGCAGCGGCUGCGAUGGCUGGUCCCCUGCCCGGGCUCUAUGCUGCGGUCGAGGAGACGUUUGGAUGCAAGCUUGCCGACAAAUGCCUGGCGGAGUUGAACGCGGUAGGUGCGAGGAGCAUAGUGCCACAGCAGUGGAUGACGGCGUGUGGUUGAGGCUAUCCAAUUCAGUGCAUACCAUACCGUCACAGUGGCAGAACGCUCCCACUCCUCCCACUACUUUCCCCGCCCGACCAAGUCCUCCGACCCUCCAUACCGUUACCGAUUUCCCCUGUUUCGCCUAUCCCUCCCCUCUUCAGUCGCGCGAACAGCAAGUCCAAUCGCUCCCUCCUCCGGUCCGCACUGGCUCAUCUGUCUUUUCAGGCACCCCCAUCAAUUACCGUGCCUGCCGCACAGAUCCCGCACGAACUGUCCUCUCCCACCCAUCCGCAAGGACUGUCCCGAACGUCCACCGUGUACCCCUGAACGCGCACAACCCCCCCCCCAUUGACGUUCAGUGAUGGCGUGUGCGCAGAGGAGACAAUUAGCGGAACUCACAGCCGCGACACGGGUAUACAAUUGUACAUUCUAUGGCGCUCAUUGGGCACAGCUAACUGUGUACUUCUUUGCAUUUGUGUCCACGCAGGACGGCCGCACGCCGCUGCAGGUGCUGCUGCAGUGCCACCCAGUGCUGAUGUCCGCACCCAGCAGGGCGUUUGGAAAGGUGGACGACCACCGCACGGAAGAGGGACGCGCCAAGCUCGCCGCGAUCGCCGUCGGUCUGCGCGACUUCAUGGCGGAACGGGUCAAGGACUCCGCCACUCAAUCGCUGCAAGCGGAGCUGGGCAUGGCGGUUCCCAACCUGCUGCCAGGAUGCUGGUCGUGAGCGCCGCCAUUCGGUAGGUCGGGCUUCGUGACGGUCAGGUGGUAGCUUUGCCCCGCUUCUGGUGUGCCUAGCGGCGGUGUUGCGUCAAGAGGGGGUAUCCGAUGGUCUCUCAUGGCCUGGGAGGAAGGUGUGGAUGGCGUAUGUAUGCCCUGUGUUCCUCUUUCCGAAGGAUAUGCAUGUGUUUCCCGCGGAUGCACCGAGCGCUAUGCACAAUGCCCGGCGUGAUCCAGGCCCAUCCCAUUUACAGGGGCGGGUGGCGGCUGGCGCUGCGGCGAGUGAAGGCGCGGCGGGUGGUGGCGGUGGUGGUGGCUGUAUUAGUCGCUGUACCCGCCCGUGUACGGCACUGUCGAUCUUGAGCUGCUGCGCCUGGGCAACUGUGGCGGCCGCGCGUGCUUGGGCGUCGUGCGUGACAUUGGAUGGGUGCGGGCGGCGGCACCUCCUGUCUUUCCGCAAGACUGCAGUGCUUAAGCGGGAGCCCUGACGUGACUUAAAUACUUGUCUGCUAUGGCUUCGGAUCAUGUGCCUGAUACGCGGAUGCCGACACAAAAGGUGAAAGCUCUGGCCGGUACUCUUGCCCCACUGUCACCAGUGGAGUAAAGCUGUAACAACGGAGGCGUUAUGGAUUGUUGCUGCUGCCCACGCAUGCUGGGGCUCCCCGGUGCGUGCGUGUGACAAGUAGACAUGCAGGGCAGGGGGGCACGGACCGUUGCUUUAAGUGCGCCAUCAGGCACGGGUGAAAACCAAAGAACGACGUGUUGCAGGGUCUGCAUUCCCACAUGCGCUUGCACUUGCUCUUCGGGCCACGUGCCCCAGAUUGCCGCCUGACCUACCGGGCGUGCACAACCUGACCUGGCAGUGGGAACUUAGGUCUACAUUAGAGGCGUUGCACGUAUUAUCAAUGAAACUAUGAAAGCCCCUCAGUAGUGCCCAGCGGUGCCGCGGUGGUCGCGAACAGGGCCAUGGCUAAAAGCAGAAACGUGCGUGGGCUGCCGAUAGUGCCGAAUAUGCGGAGAUGGGCCGCGGCCAGCGCCACUGGUGGGCAGCAAGUGCGGGUUUAGACGGAUGAAGGGGAAGAAUCACCACAAGGGCGGGCAGGGGAAGCAAUGAUGGAUUGCGUCUUGCCUUUCAGCCUGAGCAACUCUGAACUUCAUCUUACAGCACCAUAUCGGCCGGUUGCCCAAUACCUCACGCCCGCAUCCGAUGCUUUAAGCGCGCCAACAGGCACGGGUGAAACCAAGGACAUGUGGGAGCUGCUGCUGCCAUGCCUGAUUCGACGUGGGCGGCCGCGUCCCGUUGUCCGGGCCAGCCAACCCUCAUUCAUACCUGCUUUUUACAAUGCGACCCAGCCUGUACAUACGUACGGGACGGUAGGGGGCUCCUGCAAAGAGUUCGUGUGAUUGGGGCGCCGGCCGGACCAGGCCGGAGGCCCUCACGGGUCCCCUCUCGCCCACUUCAGCUGUGCGGAUGACCCGACCGUGCAAACCCAGCUAACCGGGUUCCGGAGCAAUCAGCUACCGGGGGCACCGGUGACUCAGUCGGCGGGGCAGACAGGCCAGCGCAUCUGCACCACAGGAAGCCGCCUGCCGGCAUCUUCUCGGUUGUCGCACCCUCCUCACCUAGCCCUCUUCCCCGGCCCAAGAACCUCGCCUGGCCCACAUCGCAACAGCCCCCGCUCCACGUGGACGUAGGUGGAUGAGCGGGACCGAGCCGCCAAGCAGCAGUGCCAAUGCCACCGGGGCCUGUGUCCAUGCAGUCCCAGGUUGCAGCCGAUGUAGCUGCUGUCAGGCCUACUCGGGCAUGCGCCGCGCACGCACGGUUCGUGUGGCGCAGAGAACACGGAGAACAAGGCUGCACAGGAGAACCUACAAAGAGUUGCAGUCCUCAGGCAAUCCUAAGGUGCCAAAACCCAGCCCUAACCUGCAAUCGCUUGGGCCUCAUGCUCCCGGUUGCAGCUGAUCCAGCUGAGGCUUGCGGGGCGUGCAUCGCCGCCAACCUCAACGCGGGUGGCACGGAGGCCCCAAGCCCCGACCAGGCUCCGCCGUGCUCUCUGGCUCAUGAGUGCUUGCAAUUUGUCCUUUACGGGAAAGGGAUACGCGCUACAGUAGUUGCCUCCUUCAGGUUUGCCAUAAGUUUGCGCGUGUGAAAUCAAGACGCCUGUAACGCGUAAUCAUAUUCGUUUUUGGAGCAAAUGGAUCUUAUACAUAAGAAUGUGCAGGUGUAAAUCGCAGACCCAGGGACCGCUUUGACUAAAUGCCGACCGGGCCCCCAUCAUGCAAGUUGUGCACCUGGAUGCCCUUUUGCCCAGUCCCGCUAAAUUCUAAGUUGUUUCUCGCUCUGAGCUUUUACCUUAGUACUCUAGGGGCGCCUGCCGACUUGGGCACGUGCUGAGAAAGAUGCAGGCUUCUUUGCGCGCGCGGGCUAGGCCCUUUACCUCGGGUAUGUGACUCUAGAGCUGGACGUAGAUCUAGGAUUGAUGCGACUAAAAUUGUGGGCUUGCUCUGCAGGCGCCCAGCCAUCGCUGCGGCGAGCGCCCGCUCGCGUCUGCCGCCCCGUGGCGUCAGCAGCGGCUGCUAAAGGACCCGUUGUUGUUGUGGACAACUACGAUAGCUUCACAUACAACUUGUGUCAGGUGGGGCGGUCGCUGCAUGUUUGCCGCGAGGCAUCGGCACGUCUCAGCGCCUCACCGCUGCCCUCUCUGACGCCAAUUGCAGUAUCUGGGUGACUUUGGGGUUGACUAUGUGGUGUACAAAAACGACGAGAAAACCGUGGAUGAGAUCAGGGCCAUGAACCCUCGCGGUAUCCUCGUGUCGCCCGGCCCCGGUGAGUGCUCGCCUCGCAGCCCCAGCGCCACGUUCUUGGCUUGGCGCGUCCCGCCUUUGAUACGCCCAAACAGGGCUAACUUGUGUCAGCUAGCCCUUUCCGCAUCUUGUGCAUGGAAUGCUGGGCUGUGCAACUGACGGUGAUGCGGUUUCCUGUCAUGUGCGCGCAGGCCGGCCCAUCGACUCGGGCAUCUCCCUACAAACAGUGCGGGAGCUGGGUCCCGACUUCCCACUAUUUGGUGUGUGCAUGGGGCAUCAAUGCAUUGGCGAGGCAUUCGGAGGUGCGUCGUGCUGGGGCUGCUGCGAUGAUGGUGGAGGGAUGAUGGAGGGUAGCAUGGGUCAGGAACGGGGAGGAGGCCAGGGGCGGAACACGCCGCACACGCCGCACCAGUGAGGGCCGCGCACGCCAAACCUGGCUGAGGGCAGGCACCAGGCAGCAUAUGUACGUGAGGAUGAGCAUCAACCCGUUCAGGCGCCUGAAGCAUUGCCGUGCGUCGUGUGAGGGUCGUGGUGGGGCAGCCGCAGCCACAUACCGCUACCUGCAGCGGGCGGCAACAGCGGGCGGCCACUGCGGGCGUGGCGACAGUGGCAGCGGGGCGCCGGCGCCGCCCGCACCCAGGCCGCAGAAGUUGCAAUUGAGGGAAUCCAGUGACCUCAUACAGCGGCCUGGCGCAGCCCUCAGGCCGCCGCGCCAGGACCUGCAACAUUCCCCCUGGGGCGGCAGGCGACUGCAGAGCCGGUCGUCCGCGCAUGGGCGGUAGCUGCUGCCGUGGCUGCCACCCGUCAGACUGCCGCCCCGUCAGACUGGCUCCCUGGUGUGCUGCGCUGCAGGUGACGUGGUGCGCGCGCCGUGCGGGGUGAUGCACGGCAAGACGUCGCCGGUGUUCCACACCAACGUGGGGCUCCUGGAGGGCCUGCCCAAGUAGGUGUGGCGUGCCGCGUGACGUGUCGCGAGCGGCGUGGGAUGGGGAGGGGAGGGGAGGGCGAGGGGAGAAGCGAGGGGUAGGAGGACAGGGGAGGGGGGGGGAAAGGGGGGGAGCAUUGGACCCGAUACAGAGGGUAGCCUGCAGCUUCGGCGUGGUGGCAGGGCAAUACGGUAGAGUAGAGAGGAGGGGAUCGUGCGCGAUGGUCUUGCGGGUUGGAAGUGAGGGCUACUGGAUCGGGGCUGGAAAGCAGCUUCAGGGGUGCAUGCGGGAGAGGGUGAAACAUGGCAAUGAGAUGGCGCGGCAUCCGACCGAGCAGCUCGGGCGGCGUGGCAGCAACAGGAUGGCUUUGGGGGCGCAGCUGGAGCGCGGGCCUGCAGCGGAGGCCGUCAGCUGGAGGGCAGGCAGCGGGUGGCAGAGCAGAUCUGGUGGUCCAGAUGGAGAUGCACGCGGGGAUGGGCAGGGGCGUUGAAGGGCGGGCGGCACGGGGUGGGCGGAGCGCAGCGGGAAAGGGGGACUGCUCGUGGCAUGACGUGACAUGGCUCGUGGGGUGGGUGGUGGGGCUGGGGCGGGUGUCGACAGUGUUGUGCUCGCUGCCUUCCCGCCCCGGCUCCUGCGUCCUGCUUACGCACGCGUCACAGCACACCCACAACUGCGUUCUCCAACACCUCCACCUGCAACGCGACUCGCUAACCACCCCCACCCCCGUGGCCCGAAUUCCUCUUGACCCUGCGCGCCAUCCCAACCGGGGCACAUGUUCUCCGCUCUGGCACGUACACCCCGCUUUCACCAGAAUCGCACGCCUAAACCGUGUCAUCAAUCCCCCCCAUCGCCCUUCACCCGCGGCCCACGCCCCACUCCCGCAGCCCCUUCGAGGCGUGCCGCUACCACAGCCUGGUCAUCAAGCGCGACACCAUCCCGGAGGACCUGGAGGUCACGGCCUGGACGGAGGACGGCACCAUCAUGGGCGUGCGCCACAAGAAGUACCCGCACAUCCAGGGGGUGCAGUUCCACCCCGAGUCCAUCAUCACGCAGGUGCGCGGCAGGGGUGUGUGGGAAGGAAGGGGGUUGUAAGUGCCAGCCUGAACUAAACCAAACCACGCCAAACUAGCGGAGCACAGGCAGAGGCGCGGGCACUAGGGGGCGCUAGGGCAACUGUCAAGGACUUGCACCCGGCGCCGUGGAUAUGAACAUAGUCCUGUCACCAACAUUGCUGUACCCUCGCCACUGCAGAGUGGCAAGAAGAUUGUGGAGAACUUCGUGAAGACUCUGUAACGCCCUGUUGUGACGGUGAAGGUGGCGAGGAGUUUGGCGAGCAGCGUUUAGCGGCGAGGAGCUGCGUGGAGCUAUUGCCAUGAGCGACUUGCGUGGAGGCACUGCCUUCUCUGAAACUGUGAAAGUCAUGUUGCGGCGGUGCCUGGCCAAGUGGUGGCGCAGGGCGUGGCCCCAGCUGUUGCCAGUGAGGGCGGUGUGCUGCAGCUGAGGUGAACACGUGGUGCAUGCGCCUCGGGAACCUCCGGUGGAAAUGAAGUGAAGUGAAGGAGCGUGCUGGAGGCGUGGCAGUGUGAGGACAGGGCAGCUGAGACGUGAGGGUUGUGGAGUGGAGCAUGUGACUGGGUAGCAAGGUGUGAUUGGGGCGCGUAGCUAGGGGUGCGUGAGAGCGUGGGUUGCAUGGUCUGCAUCUUGACGCGGGUUGGGCACAAUUGCAGAGAGUGUGAAAGGAGGGCAUGCGUGCAGGCUGUGCAGGCCCCACGCCUCUGAACAACUGGGCAAAGCCGGGGAGGUGGCUUCGGGUUUGGUGUGGGGUUAAGUCGUGGCUGCCCAUGGAGCGGCGGGUGUGAUUGCAAAGUGGGCCACGGAAGUAGCUAUGAGACACCGUGUGUUAUGCUGCUACUGCGUGCAAGGGGUUUAUAGACACGGGUUAUUGAGGUUAGGGUUGUUGGUGGACGGCGCUUAAUAGUCGGGCAGUCGGACAAGAACCCUGGUUUGGGCCCUGCAUGAAAGGUGAGCGCCGAACAAAGCAUGCAAGCGAGCCAUGUCUUACGACAUCAACGCUACCGCUUUUAAACGUGUAUCUUGGAAUCCACAGCGGUGUCCUAACUGCAGUCCUGGGUCGCCUCGCCUGGAGAAAUCGGCUUUGCCAGAACUGUCAUCCCGCUUACCCAAGCUUCCCGCACAUGCUUUUUGUACAAUUCGGCUUGCCCAAGCUUUCUUUAGGCCAUAUUGAAUUUACUUCCAUCCGCUGCGCGCGAUAAGAAGGCUCCUGGCCGCCGACUCAUAGUUUACCUCGCUUUUCGUUUGCUUGUUUAGUCGGUCGCUCGCCACGAUGCUGGCUAAGUUUGCCUCUGGGCAAUUACUGGGGGCAACGGCGGGCUGCUCUACGCGGCAGGCGGCAAUGCCCGCACGUUGCCUCAGCGGUGUCUCCUCGCGCGCCCAACAGCCUCUGUUAUCCUCGGGCCAGACUAGCGCCCAAUUGCCUAUUCAAAGUCAUCGCUGCGCUGUAAUUACGCAAGGCCAGGCAAACAGCUCGCUGCGCCUGCCGAUUGAGUUGGACCUUGAGACGCCGUUGCCCGGCUUUGAUAGCAUUUCGUCGGCGCUGGCGGACCUUGCAGCUGGAAAGGUUGUGGUGGUAAUUGACGACGAGGAUCGGGAGAAUGAGGGCGAUCUCAUCAUGAACGCGGACAAGGUCACCACGGAGACCAUGGCAUUCUUCGUCGAGUACACCAGCGGUGUGGUGUGCAUUUCCAUGGAAGGCCAGGACCUGGACCGCCUCAAGCUGCCGCUGAUGAUUAACAGCGCGGAGAACGAGGAGGCCAUGUACACCGCCUUCACGGUGACCGUGGACCUGCGCGACGACAUCACCACCGGCAUCUCCGCCUCCGACCGCGCCAAGACCAUCCGCCGCCUGGCUGACCCCUCCGCCACCUGGACUGACUUCCGCCGCCCCGGCCACAUCUUCCCGCUGCGCUACCGCCCCGGCGGCGUCAUCGUGCGGCCCGGCCACACGGAGGCCGCCGUGGACCUAGCGCGCCUGUCCGGCUCCUUCCCCGCCGGCGUGCUCUGCGAAAUCGUCAACAAGGAGGACGGCAGCAUGUCGCGCACGCCGCAGCUGCUGGAGUUCGCCAAGCGCCACGGCCUCAAGUGCAUCACCAUCGCCGACCUCAUCCGCUACCGCCUCCGCAACGAGGCGAUCGUGACGCCCGCCGGCGAGCCCACGCCGCUCACCGCUGCCUCCGGCGCGCGCCUCACCGCGCAGGCCUUCCGCAACGCCGUGGACGGCACCGAGCACGUGGCCUUCGUGCACGGCGCUGUGGCCGACUCGGCCUCGGACGUGCUGCUGCACGUGCACCACGAGCGCACCGUGGCGGACCUGCUGGACUGCGCCGCGCCCGGCACCAGCGCCGGCGGCGCUGCCGACUGCAGCCUGCCCGCAGCCAACGCGAGCUCGCUGGACGGCGCGCUGCGGUCCGUGGCGGCGGCGGGCGCGGGCGUGGUGGUGUACCUGCGCGGGCAGAGCGCGCGCGGGCUGCCGCCGUCGGCGGAGCUCGCGGCGCUUGGCAGCGGCGGCGCGGGCGCGGGCGCGCUGUACUCGUGCGACCUGAAGGACGCGGCGGUGGUGGCGCAGAUGCUGCGGCAGCUGGGCGUGCGCUCCGUGUCGCUGGCGGGUGGCGAGGGCGCGAUGGCGACGGCGCUGCGCAGCUGCGGCCUGGCGGUGCGGCCCGCGGCGGCGGCGGCGGGAGGCGCGGGCGCGGCGACGCAGCACGUGAACGGCAACGGUGCCAGCAGCAACGGGCACGUGCACAGCUCGCCGCUGCAGACCGCGGGCAUGCGGUGAGCGGCGGCUGUGCGCCGGAACGCAGGGCCGGGGGGCGGGGGGCGGGGGUCGGGAGCGGGAACGAGAGCGUUUAGGGUGGCGCCGUGAGGCACCGUGUUAGGAGCGCGGCAACUUGGUCACGACUGACUGACGUGUGCGGUUGACAUGACGGCGUGGUAGUGCGCAGAUCCCACGGGCAGCGGGCAUGCGGGUUCGGGACAUGGGCGGUGUGCACGGCAGCGCGGGUCUGCAACGCGGGUCUGUACGCAGGUUCACAUGUGUCGGCAUGGGCAUGGGCAUUGUAUUUGCCAGUAGCAACCGGGUGUGACGGGAACAGGUCGCAUAGCGAGGAGGCAGGACGGCCCCCGCGGGCACGGAAAUACUCUACCUGAAGGUGCGGAAUCGAAGGCGCGGCUCGGGCCUGUGCCCAGCCAGCCAGCGGGCACGGCUGUGAGCGUGUGAGGUUGCCGUGAUGGAAUGUUCUGCUUGGGGGCUAUGCGAUUCGGGUUGGCCCGCGCCCAACGAGAGACUAGGCUGAGUAAUUGAGAGGACAAGCAACGUGAGGGUGCGUGGAUGCGACCGACUCUGCUGCGCAUGCGGGUCCUGCGGAAGGUGUUGACUGUUACAUGGCAUGUCUGAGUUGUAGCUAGGAUAAUGACUGCUUGGUGAGUGAGCGCGUAGGUUGACGUGUUACGUGUGCAUGCCUACAUACAAUUGACCGCUGACAGAACUGUCGUGUUUUGGUUUGACUACGGUAGUGUUAGUGUACAUGAUGUCGCUACGGUAACACCUACGUUACAGGCGUGUCGCGGACUGUGUGUGGAGGGGGGCGGUGUGUGACCGCAGUGCCCGGGCCAUGGGCAAGUGCAAUAGCAAGGGGGCGGACAUUCGGACGCACGUGUGCAAGAUGGCCCAAGCCUAAUGAGAGACGGGUGAGAGUGUGAGAAGCAAGGAUUGUGCGUGCAGUGAGUAUGAGUCCAGCAGGUGGACAGGAACAGGCGGGUGCUUACGGCGCGGCGUGUGGUCCGAUGGCCCACGGCCAGUCGCAAGAGGUGUUAGCGGCACGAUCGCAUCUACAGCAGCAACGGCCAGGAGAUUGCGGCGGGCACAUACGGUACGCGCGGAGGCAUGACGCGUCAAGCUGGUGCGUGCGGUCCUUGUGAUAGACUGCAUUGGCAUGUGCUGUAAUGUGGAAAGUACCGUACCCAAAUAGCGGACCUCCUGGAUUAUGAGUCAGAACGGCUGCAGGUGCGAGCAACGCGGACGCAUGCUGGAUACAGUCACGCGAUUGCAAGUGCUGCCAGCGGCAUCAAAGAGUGUAGUGCAGCGGGAGCCCAGUGUCACGCGAUUGCAAGUAGGGACCAGUGUCGGGGCACGCGAGCACGGCAUCAGCACACGGUAUCGCGUGACACCAGGGACGCAGCGCAAAACAUAAUUACAAGACCUUUCAGGAGGCCGCGGUCGAGCGACAGCAUUCCACACCGCAUACGACCUCCAGCUUGUGGCUCCUCAUGCCGCUCCAGCGCGCGUAUCACGUACUCGCCCGCGGUCAUUGCACCACCGCCUCACCAUCCGGCACACAAGAUUCCCCCUGUCGCGCAACCAUGCUCUCCGUAGGCCCGUUCACACAGCCCGUCCAAACAAGCCACCUACGUGGCCCAUCACAGCGCCACACCUUGUCGCAUGCAGGUAUACCAGCCCGCAGUCCUGACACACAACGGGUUUGCGCGCAGGGGCCUUCCGGCACCGGCCAAGCCGCCCAGCGCUGUCUUGCCCACGCAAGGACUCAUCCUACUAGGCAGCACCCAGCGCCGCUCGCCUCUCCACCUCCGCAGCCGGCCGAAGCGCCCCGUCUCCCAGGCUCUUCCUUCAUGCAGCAUCUCCCGCCCUGCGCUCCAGUCAGCCGCUAUGGCCAGGUUGUCCAGCCGCUUCGCGCUGCGGGUGCGCCUUCUUCCGCAGUCCGCUUAGAUGUAUGUCGCUGCGAGGGGCAACACACAAGGACCGAGGCGAAAAUGUCGUAAACCGACGGACCCGCCGGUGUAGCACCGGUGUGAGACCAACCAGAGCCAGCGCCCGGCGCACAUCGCACGCUCCAUUCCUCCGCCCCGUCAACUGUACUGCUGGUUGAUAGGUGUUGCUUGGCAGGAACGCCGUGCCAAGCCAGCUGCUGUCCAAGCUGGAUCCAACAGGACGGCCUCCCCUUCCCUCCCACACACACGCCCCUCUUGUCCCGCCUCAUCGCCCCUUCUUAAGGCUGAAUACGUGUUCCCUGCGCUUCCCACCCUUUUCCUUCCCUUCCUUGCUUUUCCUAUCCCACCCUUUCCCGCUCUCACCAGGCAUCUUGCCGACGGACACCGUGUGCCGCUCCGUGUACAUGCGGCCUGCAGGCGCAGCAGCAGGAGCCGCAGCAGGAGGCAGGGGCGGGGCAGAGCAGCUGAGGCAGCGCAGCAGACAGUGCAACUGGGGCCGACGCAACGCACGCAGGGCGCCUGGGCCCGGCCGGUCAUGUCCUGCAGCGCCUCUCCCUACGCCGCUCAGGCAGCGUGCAGGCGGCGUGCGUUUGCACGCCCCAGCAGCAUGCCCCAGUGGUCUGCCACGUGCCAACUACUGUGAGGCCCCCUUCGUUCCCGGCGCAGCCCGCCAAAUCCGGAUCCAGAAGGACUCACCCACUCGAGGCAUGACGCACCACACCAGCGUCAGGUUCACGUCCCGCCCGCGCAGGUUGUGCCCGGGGUCGAUGAACGCGUACUUUGUUUUAUGGUUGGACAGCUUGAAUACCGCCUUGUCCUAUGGAAUUUGGUUGUGAUGUUGGGGCCAAAGAAGGGGUUGGGUUGGUUGGGAUUGGCUUCACCUGGAAGCUUAGCUUGUUCGUGUUCAGGCAGCAGCGCUGACGGUUCAGUCUCAGACCCUAAGCAAGGCCCCAGCGCUCCCUCAAGCCUCGUCACUGUGUAAGGUAGGGGCCUUUCGUGCGCCUGCAGCGAGAGCCCGGCGGCCAACAACGGCUGCCGCACCAGCUACAGCACGGCACGCAGGUGCCCCUCUUCCCCGCGUCCUCUCCCCUACGCGCCCGCCGCUUGCCUUCUGCUGCACAAUGGAGUCCCACAGCACCACCUCGUUGAUGCGGUUCUCCUGCGUCUCAUACUCCGCCUGAACGUAGACGAACAGCUGCUUCGUGUUCCAUGUGAACACGCUGCGAAGAUCGGCGUUGACGUCAAACGUCACGACCGCCUGCGAAGACACACGUGAGAUUCAGUGUGGCGAACCGCACUGGCAGUAUGCCAAUAAUCGGGUGCGGCGAGCUCAGCAUGGUCGGCCAAGCCCUUACUUGGUCUUUUCCGCCGUGGUGCUGCACAAGGCGCCGAACUUCCCGCAGUCCUAGCUUAAUGUUUGGAUUGGACUUAUGGAGUAGAUCUGCGCAGACGCUGCAUGUUAUCGCCUGUCCCAAGAAAAUGCCCUGCCCGAUCACUCGUGUAUUCGCGUCUUGCCUGUUGAUGACGUAAGGAUGCAUAGCACAGCUGCUACCGUUCCAAAGAACGUUACAGCCGUAUUCAGGCGGUGGUAUAUCGAGUGCAUUUCUCUUGCGACCUAGCCUACUGACUGAGAGACACCUGAGUCUCAAGGGCAGUAUAUUUAUUUGCCAACACUUGUACACUGUCCUGCUUUCUGGUGUCGAGCGGAUGAGUGUGCCAAAUUGGGGCUUACAUUCCGCCUGCGUGUCCCGCCUGCUUAGCCCCCCUCCGCGGCUUCGCCCACGAGGUCUGUCUCGCCUAGUCGCCUUCCUCUGCACCUCCGCCACUCCCGCCCAGCAUCAAAACAACUGCAUCUUGGUCACCGCUCCAUCGCAGAACCGAAUGACCUUGACGUCACGCUCCACCGGCAGCCACCACACCGACGACAAGUACGACGACACGCCAACCGCCUCCGCCUCUUUCGCACCCCCGCUUCCCCCCGCCCUUGCCCUUGCCACAUCGGCCGGCGCCGGCCCGCCCAGCAGGCACCGCACACUGUCUGCCCGGCACCGAGCCAGCAUAACGUACGAUAGCGCGCCAUAUGGCGACGGCUGCGCCUCGAAGCCGCAGGCGGGCAGGUCGCACUCGUCCAACAUCAGCUGCUCCAGGCGGGGGCAGGCGGCCGCCAGGCGGGACACCACGUCGGGCGACAGCUGCGUAAGGAAGGGGCAGGUUGGCGCGUGGGGACGGAGCAAGCAAGGGCACGGGGCGGCGCGUGCUUGGUGCAGUGUCCGCUUGGAGUGGUAUGGGCAUGGUCAGAUCUGGCCCACGUGACCCCUUUCCGUGCCCACCCUACCCACAAACUAUUCCGAACCCAUCCUACCCACCCCAUCCAGUGCUCACCUGGCAGCAGUGCCGCAGCCGCAGGUUGCUCAGCGCCCCACAGGUCGUAAGCCAUCCCAGCAGCGCCUCGCAGCUAAACGGCCGCCGCCCCGCGUCCCCCACCUCCCCUUCUCUCUGUCCUUGCUGUGUUCCCCCCUCCUCCGCCUCCGCCACCUGUGAUGCCGCAGCGGCGGCCGCACCACCCCUGCCACUGCCCUCCUCCACCGCCACCACACCAGCGGCGCGGCCACGCCCCGCCUGGGCCUGAACACGACCCACACGCGGUCGCUGGUAGCCGGUCUGCUCCAGCCGCAGCUGACUCAGUGCAGGCGUGCCGCGGCGGCGCAGCUCCCCUAGCAGCCCCACCGACAGCCCCGCCACGCCCACCAGCGCCAGCGUGCGCAGCCGGCGCAGGGGAGGCAGCGAAGGCGGCAGCGGCAGCGGCAGCGGCAGCGGCAGCGGUAUCCGCGCCGCGUGCUCAGCACCAGCAGCACCAUCGGUGCGCGCGCUGCCGCCGCCGCCGCCUGUUCCAACCUCGCUGCCUCCUGCUGCCAGCUGCCCGACCGGCCUGCCGUACAGGAGUGAGAGCAGGUCGUCGUCGUACAGCUCCGUGGCACUGCCGCCCACCAGCUGCAGGUCAGACAUGGCCCACCGCCGUACACAGCGCCGCCGUACGCACUGCCGUACACACCGCCGCCGCUGCUGUGGCGGUGCUUCUUCUUCUUCUUCUGCCUCCGCGGCCGCGGCAGCUUCCAACCCCUCCCUCUGCCCCUCCUGCCCCUCGUGCCCCUCCGCCUCAUGCCCCUGCAUCGCCAGUCCUUGCUGCCCCCCCACCGCCGCCUUCUGCUCCGCCAGCCAGCCCAGCGGCCGCAGCAGGUCCUCCCGCCGGAAGGGGCCCAGGCAGUGGAUGAGGUGCAGCUCGUGCAGCUGGACCAGGUGGGGAGAAGCGGGGUGGGAGAGGGGUCGGGCUACUCCAAUCCCAACCAACGGGGGUUGUAAUCGAAUUAUCGAAACCAUACCCAAUAAGAGGAGCUGCAGGGAUAAGUAGACGCAGAAGACACACCACGCAGGAAGGCAAGUCGACACAGGAAGGCCAGACACACGCCGCACGCCCCUAGCAAGCCCGAUUGCGUUGUGGCCCGGACACACAGGCGACGUGUCCGCCGCAAGUACUGCAGCCUUUCCGCCGUUGCCCGAAUGCACCGUUUGCGCCCUUCCUCCCUUCCUCCCUUCCUCCCCAUCCCCAUCCCCUCAUCUCUUCCAACCUUCCACCCUUCCUCCCUUCCAUCCCCUGCCCGCCCACCUUGCAGCACGCCGCCAGCAGCUCCCCCAGCCCGGCGCCCGACACGCCCGCCAUCUCCAGCCGCAGCGCCUGCAGGUGCGGGCAGGCGGCGGCCAGCGCCCGCAGCCCCACGUCGUCCACGGCCGCCCCCACCCCCAGCUCCAGGCGCGAGAGCACCAGAGAGCGGUGCGGCGGAGGGGGCGGGCACGGGGCGGGCGCAGGAGGCGAGGCGGCGGCGGUGGUGGAGGUGGUGGAGGGAGUGGCGGUGGAUGAUGGCAGGGAAGAGGAGGCAGAGAAGGCGGAGGAGGAGGGGUGCGUGGAGGCGGGGACCGCUGGUCUGCCGCAGCCGCACAGGCGCAGCACGGCGGCGGUGUUGAAGCCCCACCCCACGGCCAGGCUUCUCAGGCCGUGCAAGCCUGCAAGCUGCUGCCCCUGAGCCACCUCCGCCGCCACCUCAGCCCUCUCCGCCACCGCCGCCUCAACCUCCACUUCCGCUUCCUCCUUUGCAUCUCCCUCCUCUCCAGACGAGUCGCUCGCCGAAGGGGUUUGCGCUGCAACCGGUGCCGCCUCUGCCUGAGGCAGGCGCGCGCCGCACCCAGGAGGCACCCGGUGUGGCACACACUCCGUCGGAAGUGGCGCCAGUGGCGGCGCCGCCGCCGCCGCCCGAGGUAUCGGCGGCGCCGCCGUCCGCAGCAUCGGCGGCGGCAGUGCCGCGGGCGCCAGGUCGCGACAGCGGCUGAGCCCCAGGUGCUGCAGCCGCAGCCGGCAGCCACAGGGAUCCCUGGCCUCACCGCUGCCAGCCCCCACUGCCACUGCCACUCCCGCCGCCGUAAAAUCCCCGCCAGCCGCGGCCCCGGCUACAGCCUCCGGCACCGCAGUAAGCUGUAGCAGCGCCAUCAGCUGCUCUGGCCCAACGCCCGAAGAGCCGUUCAGCUCCAGGCGCUGGAGGCGGCGCAGCGCCGGCUGUAGCACCGUCAGCCAGUCGUCGGCAGCUGUAGCAGCCGCCGUGGUGGCCGCAGCAGCCCUGGAAGAUGAGAUGGCUGUAGCAGAUGGCCGGCUCGCUGUGGCGCUUGCGGCCUUGGCACUAGCGGUUCCAUUGGGGGGCAAGCCCUUGGCAGUAGCCGCACCCUUGGUGGCAGCAGCAGCGCUCUUGGCAGAAGCAGCAGCGCCACCACGAGCAACGCUGCUACUGCUGCUGCGGCUGUUGCUACUGCCGCUUCGGUUGCCGUUGUCGAAGAAGCCGCCCAGCUCGAGGUCACACAGGCGCAGGUCUGCAUACGGUAACGGGCAGUUGGUGUUGCUUCCAGCGCUCUGCUCAAACCCACGCCGCUCCGACAUGGAAAUGAAAAUUUAUUCGGCCCUUUGAUGCUUGUUCCUAACCCCGCUCUUCCGUUCUGGGCUUUGGGGAGUUUGGGAUGAGGGCUCUGUCCCCGUCAACCGCCCACCUUGCAAGCACUCCAGUCGCGCCACCGCCUGUCGCAGCUCGCCGCCCCAGGCCCGUGCCACCACCGCUGCCGCCGCCAGCGCCUCCGCCCCCGCCGGCUGCCCAGCCGCUGCCGCUGUAGCUGCUGCCGCCGCCGCCGCCGCCACGCCGCCUGCCCACCUGUUCACAGGUGGCAUGGCAGCCCCCAGCGCACCCGCCGGGUCUCUGCCACCCCCGCCGUUAGCUCGCCUGGAGGAUGACCCGUUGCGGCUGCCCGCAGCAGCCCUUGCUGCUACAGCCGCGGAUGCGGCUGCUGAGUGCGCGGCUACUGCCGCCGCAGCUAAAAUGCCUGGCGGCGCGAGCGGGCAGCCGGACAGGUCGAGGGCGGUGAGGUUGCGGCAACAGCCCUGUGUGGCAUAAGGACAGGAUCAUGACCAUUGUCCCGACGGAAAUCCAUACAGUUAGAAUGACAGGCUGAACACAACCGCUGGCAUAAUGCCAAGCUGCACCUAGGCCCCCAAUCAGCUGGAAUUGGAUGACACAACACCGCACACGCACACACUUCGCACGGACACGCAUGCUCUGUUGUUCUCUUGCCCUGUCUCUCCCGAACACGAACACCACCAAUCGGAUCCCCCACGCACCGCUCUCCCCAGCAGCCGCAGCUCUUGCAGACCCGCAGCCGCCGAGUGUGUGGCCACCAGAGUGUGCAGGUGCGGCAGCAGUACACUGCCGCCACCCUCGGGGGGCAUCUCCGCCGCCGCCAGGAGCGCCAAAGCAAGCGGCGAGCCUUCAUGGCUCCGAUGUGCAACCUGUACAGAGGGGCACGGGCCAAAGCCUCUUCAAGCCCUCCACCUGUACUGUACAAUUCCAUUGCCAGGUUUCAUCCUGGAAAGGCUUCAAUCUAGACCCUCCCAAAGACGGUGAUUCAAUGCUUUUUGACGCCGUGGAGCUGGUCAAGCGCAGCGGGCAAAGCUGAAACCGUAACCAAACCCAAUGCUGCGAGCGCGGCCGUGACCGCUCUAAUCACCUGCAGGAGGGCCGCUAGUGCCGCGCUGUCGCCGUCGGGCUCAGCGACGCCGUCACCAUGGUCACUGCCCCCCUCCCCCUCAAAGGCCGACGGCCACUGGUUCCCAACCGCCAACGCAGCUGUGGUCAGGGCUACACCCGUCGCCCUGCCGUACAGCCCAUGGUACGACAGAUCCACGUAGGUCGGCGCCACCGGCUCCAACUGACCCUGCUGCCGCUGGCGCCGCUGCGGGACCGCGGCCGCGCCGCGCGCGUGCUGCGCGAGGCGCGUGACGAAGGAAGCGAACAGCUGCACCGCCUGCCAUUGCGGAUGCGGAGAUGAGCGAGAGCCCGAUUUGAAGAGGAUUACCGCAGGGGCCGCAGAGGCAGCACAAAGUGUCUGUGGAUGGUCUGGGCCCUGGUCUGGGCCCAAAAGGAUCUGCCGUCUAGAGCUCCCGCACCAGACCCGAGUUCCAACUGCUGCUGGCGGCGCCUGCACGCUACGCUCAGUGCCCCUCCACCUGCGCCUGCACACCCACGCGCUCCCUGACACCAAACACCGACGCGCUCGCGCUCGGCCCGCCACACCCUCCAUACUAACCUCCCUCUGAUGCUCCUCCCGCCCGCCCCCCUUCGGCACGCCCUCACCUCUGCGCUGCAGGCUGGGCUGGUCGGGUGCGCCGGCAGGCACGCCGCCCCCGACCCCAACACCAGGCCACCACCUCCAUCCGCACCCGCACCAUCGCCAGCCACACCGUCACCUGGACAGCCGCCUCUCGCCUCCAACCCCACCCGGGCCCCGGCCCCCGGCCCCGCCCCCGCGCCCGCCUCCGCUCCUGACCCCGCAGCCCUGGUUCCAAGGGGCCGCAUGGGCCCCGACUGGCUCGCCGCCCCCGCGUCCGUGACCACGGAUUCUCCGAGCAGCGGGGGCACCAGCGGCGGCUGCAGCGCGGGCCGGUAGGUGGACGGCUGGGGCCAUGCGGCGGGGGCCAGAUGCGCGGCCGCGGGCAGCUCGGGUGCCAGCCACAGCGUGUGGGCGGCCGGCAGGUGCGUCACGUGCGUCACCGGCAGCCCCGGAACCUGCAGCGUGGCGUGGCGAGCGUGUGGGUGUCGGUGGUAGGCAGUUGCAGCGGUCGUCAUGCCAACCAGGGAUGGGGUGGGGCAGCGACCGUGCAGGUAGCGUGGCGGCGUGUAAACUGGGAUUGAUAUACCGUACGGGUUGUGACGACAGGGCUGCGGGCUGCUCGUACAGUCAGGAAGUACUCACCGGCCAAGUGCCGGGGUCGCCAUGCCUGCCCUUCCCACCGACGGAGGCCGGCGCUGCAGGGGCGGGAAGCGCAUGGUCGCGAUCGCCUGCGGCGGCGACCGCCACCGCCGUCGCCGCCGCCUCGCCGUCGCGCGGCGGAUGGUGGGCGGCCAGCACGGCAGCAUGGCUGUCAGCGAGCAUCGCCACCCGCCCAUCACUCAACAGCACCGCCGCUGCCGCCGCGGCUUCGGCAGGGGGCUGAAACAUGUGUCCGCGCUCGAGCCUGAGCCGCGCUGCGCCAGCACCGCAGCGUGCUGGCGAGGUCGGCUUGUGGCGGCUUGCGGCGGCGGCGGCGCCGCCAGCUGCGCUGGGCAAGGCGCUGGGCUGAGUGAAGGGCGUGUCAGGCCGAAGGCUGUGCGCCGGAUGAGGAUGGCAGGCCAGGGCCUGCGACGUGGGGUUUUGGGUCGGCUGUGGGGCGGUUGCGUGGAGCAAGGCACGCCAGUCGCCAUCGAUGACGGCUCGGUGGCGCUCCGCCCUCUGCCGCCAGGCCUCCAGCCCACCAAGCCCGGCGCCGGCGCCACCUGUGCAGCCAGAGUUCAGCGAGCGUUGUGUGUUUAUGCAGGCCAGGCGUCACAGUUGGAUUUAUGAGCAACGCGCAUGUGGGUCGGGUGCAGGAAGCCACGGCGCCGCCCAGCCCGCCCUAAGAGGCGGCCGCGUACCUUGACACGACAGGCGGCCGUGUGUUUAGGGAGAGCCCGGGUCACAGCAACGACUGAGCCGGCCGCGAAGCGGGACUUGCCUGUUGUAUCCGUUACCAGAAAUAGUAGCGUGUGGCAUGUGGCUGCCACCGCGGCCUUAUCCAAGGGCCGCAGGCGGCGCAGCACAUCGGCGAGUAUGGCUGUAGGGAGGUCGCAAAAGGACCGCGCCAGCACGCCAGCAGCCUCCGGCACGCACUUACCAUCUUCAGGCAGCAUGGCUGUUAAAGCUGUUGCUAUAGCAUAAUUAUAUCCGCAUCAUCGUUCGGCAACCGGGAGUGCCCCUUCACGCCUAAGACGCGCAAACUCGAAACCUCGCCAACUGCGCCCGCGAGGUGGACGUGAGCUACGCAUGUGAAGUUGAUGAAAUUAAAUGAUCUACGAGUGCAGCUGGCGCUGGAAGGGUCGGUAGGAAUGCUUGAUGGGGCUGGCGCGGGUUCUCAUCCAUCGCGGUUCUCCUUCUAUUAAUCGAGUCCGCCCGGCUCCCAAAGCAUUUGCUUUCGACACACCAACACCACAACUGUCACGACCAAACUACGUACUACCUCAAUUACAUAUCAAACCCCGCGGCGUGCUACCUCCUUGCAUUCGCCUCUCAGAGUUUCCCUGCUCCCGCCAGCGCUACCAGGCCUGGAUUUUGAUCCUUUGGAAGGAUGGAGACGCUGUGGCCGGCUCCAUACGCCCUACCGUAAGUAGGAACGCAGAAGAAGCCGAGGAGACACGCAGUUGGGCCGCGCGAAAGUCGGUUGAAACGCAGCUCAAGCUGCAUUGAUAGAAAGUAAUUUGUGCUGCAAACUGCGUUCGGAUUUGGUGGGAAGGCAGUCGGGCGUUGUCGGGGAGAACGCGGCAAAACUCUGCAGACGCGGCCAAGCCUUUGCGUGCUGCGCCCUAGUCCAGGUUCCUGUCUGAUAUCACGGCGUAUUGAUUGGGCCGGUCAGAUAGACAUAAUUGCGCCUGGCGUGCGCCGAGCGGGCAGUUGACGCGCGACUGCUUUUAUGCGCAGGCUCCAGUCUGCGGCGAUGGCGCUGUCCGAACAGCAGCUUGGCCAACACAUUGAUUCUGGCAGCGAGGAGGACCACAUCGCGGUCGUGGCGCAGGUCCAGACUGGCAAGAAGCGACGCAGUGUGAGCGCGGAAGAGGACCCAGACUAUGAGGACGCCGCGCAAGGCGCGCAAGGCAUAACGCAUGAUGGUAAGCAAUUCGGGGAGGGCCUGGACAGAUUCUUGGUGCUGGACCCUGCUCGCCAUUCAAAUGCUCGAGGGCAGCUCGAGUUUCCUUCCAGCUCUGACUCCCAAGGCGAUGCUUAGAAGCGGUUCAAAUCCUCUUUUUCUAUCUAAGGAAAUCGCGUUGGGAUCGUUUUAGGUCCUGUCAGGCGCAGCCCUGUCAGCUCCGACUGGGCACGCCACCGCCACCUGGCACGAACCACCCGGUUUCAUUUUACCCCCGCCCCACUCUGGCUGUCCGCUUGCCAACGCAUUCAGCCAUAUGCCAGUUUUGACCACUAACACGAUGCUCUCUUCUCUUUCUUUUGCAUUGUGGUGGCUACUCGUCUGUAGGUACAUCAAACAAGGCCGGCUACCGAGGCGUACGGCGCCGGCCAUGGGGCUCCUACGCCGCCGAGAUUCGGGACGCAGGCUGCGGCAAGCGCCGGUGAGCAUUUGCUCCUUGACAUGUAUGGAACAUGUCCUACUCGUUUCGCCAUGCGGUAUGCUUGUACGGGGAUUGUCCUGGCCUGUCUGGCCCUAAGCCACCUGCCUCCUGAGCCAGCGGCCUCGAAGCCUGUCGAGGAAUCUUGUGGGAACUUUGGCUACAGGUGGAUUGGCACGUUCAAGACUGCUGAGGAGGCUGCACGGGCGUACGAUGAGGCCGCCAUUGCGCUGCAUGGGCCUCGCGCCAAGGUGAGACGCGCUCGAAUGCACAGUUUCGCUUGUCUUGAUCUGGGUCGGAUGACUUGCACGUCGCCCUGAUAUUGCUUGCACCCACCGUAACUGUGCGAUUCAAGCCAAGUCCGCGCGUCAGUUAUGCCAGCUAUCCGAUCACAGCGUGCCCGCCUGCGAGCCCCCGCGUCAACCUUCAGGCCGCUGACGCAACCCCGCUGCGCCCCCUUUGCAGACCAACUUCACCUACCCCUGCCAGCAGCAGAGCGCCGCCGCCGCGCCAGCCGCCGCACACAAGGCCCACAAGCCGCACGCCGCCGCCGCGCCGCAGCACCACAAGCCGGCGCACCACAGCCAGCAACCUGCUCAGCCGCGCAAGCAGCCGCUGCACCCCCGGCAGCCGUACCAGCAGCACCAGCCCCCCCAGCUGCCGACGCAUCAGGAGGAGGAGCAGUACCGGCGCAAGUCGGACGACUCAGACACCUCUAUGACCGCUGCGCUGCCGCUGCCGCUGUCGCUGACGGGGCAGCUGGGCCUGCCGCCGCUGACGCUGCCGGGGCUUGAGGGUCUGGACCUGAUGGCGCUGCAGUCCAACCCCGCGCUGCUAGCCGCGCUGCUCGCCGCCACGCGGCAGCACCUCCCGGGGUUGGCCGGGCCGGAUGCGCAGCCCGCCUGCCUGCCGGAGCAGCAGCUGUCGGAGCGGGUCUGGGUCCAGGAGCAGCCGGUGCAGGGGUGCGAGGAGGAGGAGGACGGGUUGGAGGAGCCGGAGCCGCCGCAGGUGCUGCGGCCGGAGCAGCUUCGGUCGCUGCAGGUGCUGGCGGAGGUGGCGCACCUGUUCGGGCGCCGCGACUUCUGCAUGUCGUGACCUUCGCCGGCGUGCCAGGUUCGGCAGGGCGUUAGGUAGGCAGCCGUGCAGGCUCAGCCGGGGUGACGUGGGCGAAGAAGAUGGCAAAGUGAUCUGGGUCUAUGUGGUGGGGGCUUGGGCAGUCAUUCGCAGGCCCCCAAAUAGGUUGGGAAUGGGUUGCCAAGGUACUUUUCCCGUGGGGCAGCAGCUUGGUAGGCAGACCGCGGGUGGGUGCAGGCGGCGCGGCUCUGCAGUGCUGUGCCGGGCUCCCGGAGCACGCUCCAUUCUGCGCCAUGUGAGUCAUGUGCGUGGGACGCCAGCGUAGCAGUCUUACGGUGCGCCUCAGCUGUUUCCUGUGUUUGUCGACAGCCUGGCGUCGAUUGUACUUUUCGGCUGUGCCACGGCGAGGCGGUGACUGCGCACAGACGAAGAACAAGGGGCGAGGGAUGAGACGACGACAGGACUGAGUGUGUUGGGCAUGGACUUCGUGCGGGAUGAACUUAUCAGGGGCAGUAGCCCAUGUUGGUGGGCACAUGUUUGGUGCGGUACCAAUCAUGCAUAGAUGCAUAACAUGAGGCUACCACAGACACGACCGCAGGUGGACGGCUGCAUGUCCGAUUAUUUUGGUUUCGAAGCCGAAGCUGUGUGUGGUGCGUUUUGAGUGGAUGACAACGCACGCGAUAGCGUGCCGGUGAUUCUUGCCGCUACAUGGCGCAGGCGCUGUGCAAUCGGUACAUGGUGAGGCACGCUCCCGACUCAUGGGAGCUGAGAUGGGGACUGAUGGUGUUAAGGCCUUUAUACAUAUUCUACGGCAGCACAACGUCAUCAGGAUUAAGGCGAAUCCAAUGUGUGGCUGCAAGCGGCUCUUGACCACGCAAGCCACAGCCAACGAUUGACGCUUCAUAAGGAGUGUGUAUGGGUACCGCAUGUGGAUGAUAAUCCUACCGAGAGGGACUGUGGUGGUGUCUGACACCUUCGCAAGACGGGCGUAUGCGUGAGAAAGUGAGGGUGCAAUUAGUGAUGCCAGUGAGGUUACAGGUGGCACGCGCCAUAUUCGUUUCCGCCAACUUGAAAGACGUUGGGAGGCGAGGAGAGACAGGACAAAGCUUAGGCGACUAGAUAUACUGCCAACGGCAUUGCAUGGUCGGGCUCAAUUUCCCCUGCCACAAUAAUUCGUGUAUCUAGCACGCACGUGAGCAUGGCAUCGUCAAUGCAAUGUGCGGCUGAGGUUGCCUGCAGGCGGGUGAAUGGGCUGUGAUUACUUUUGUUUGGACUCCCCUGUACGCCCGCCGAGCUCAGGCCUAGCUCUUUCAUUUUUCUUUCUUUGGGGGUCCAUGCGUUGCUUGGGGCCUGAACGGUAUGGGCCCCGAAGUGGGCGUAGAGCCACUGGGGCGGGUAAAAGACCCCCGACAGCAACACGGUACAAUUCAUCCCUGUGCAAGGGGCAACACGGUGUAACACAGCUGCCCACCUCGACUGCUCUCAUGAACCCGACCCCCUGACCCCAACCACAGCACAGCUGCUCCCUGGUUCGAAUACAUGUCUGCGGCCAUUUCAUCUUCUCCUACUCUCCUAGUCUCGGGGUUAACCAAUGGCCUCGCCCCCCCCCCUCCCGGGCGCCGCGACCCACCGUCCAGUGACUUACGGUUAGACGCUUUAUGUCGGUGGCAGGUGUAUGGGUGCUUCGGGGCAAUCAGCCGAUGAAGCAGCCUCCCCUCGGUUGCGGACUUGAAAUCCGGACGGCGUGUGCCAUAUGCACCGCCGCCCUGCUGCAGAGUGGCUGCGCCGGGCGCCCGCCUGCGUCCUCCUCCUUCACCUCCCCCGCCGCGCACAGCAGCUGCAGUCCGAUUGCGCGGCUUGCAUCAUUGCAUGUUUGCUGAGGGUACCUGUAUGCGGCAUGCAGCAUGCCUGACUGGGCGCUCUAUGCAUGCGACAUUACAAGAAAGGACAGUCCGACCAAGCAUGGGUGCCCAGCACCCAGGUCAGGAGGGAACCAUCUCCGGCCCGAAGGGAAACCGCCCUCCCCCCAGCUGGCUGCCGACCUUCACCAAACCGUGCAUUGUUUCUGCGCAAAAAGCGUGUCUCAGCUGCUACACCGGCAUACGGUAAGUCGAAGUCGCCCUAUGCUGUCAAGGGACAAGAAAAGGUGGCUCUCCCUCGCAAGGGAAAAGUGGGCUGCGCCAAAGGGGGAAUGGUAGAAGCUCAGGAUCUUGCCCCAUGCAUUAGAUAAGAGAGCGUUAGGGGAGCAUCACGCACGUACUUAUGGUUCUUCGGGGGUGGUCUGGUGAGCAAGUUCUGGGCCGUCAAAGUUGGGAGGUCAGUCGUGAUCGGGUUUCAGGAGCCCAUCCUGGCGGAUUUUGAGAAGCGCCCCACAACCAGGGGAUCUAGGCAUUUCAAUAACCAGAGCUAGGGGCCGAUCGCAGCACCGUGUGGCUCAAUUAUGCAUGUUACGAUGUGCACAAACAAAGCGUGGGAGGUCCAUUUGCGCGUCCUGGCGUGGACAAGUCGGGACAUGUCCGCACAUGCGACGCCUGCACGCUGACAUGGCUGGGCUCUCAAGCUCCAGUGCACAUGAAUUUAUUUCAGCUGCCGGCGCACGCUAUCGAUACGUCACAUGACAAAGCGUGGAGCGGGGUGGGUCGUAGGGAUUUCCAUGAAUGCAUCUUCGAAUGCAGAGCAGGACUCGUCAAGGAAAGUCGAUUGGGACCACUUUGGAUGGGUUGAAGGGUUUAAGGGUUUAACCCCUACACGAUAAGUCUGUGUCCGUGAGCAUGAGCAUUUACAUGGCGUCGAAGUCCAUGUGGCCCCACUAACUCUUCUGAGUCCGGAGGCGCUUGAUAGCAAAAAGCAAAGUGUCUUCUAAAGCGUCUAUACGCUGUUUACGCGCCUGAGCACGUAAUGCCCGCUCCACCUUUCCAUCGGGGUCGGAGCCCCUUCUCACGAAGAUCCUCAAAAGCCUUCAGUUGCUCCUUGCGCAUCUCACACCCUACCCGGGUCAGAUACGGUGCGACAACGGCACCAGCCGCACGGACCUGCUGCGCCACCCGAAUGAGCGCGCUCCGCUCCUGCUGUGUCACCUCCACCACGACAUGCCACACCUCCCUACCCUUUGACCGCCACGCGCGCACGUAUCGUCCGGAGACGUUUGCGCCACUCGCACUGGCCACCGCCUCCAGAUUUCCAGCCGCCUUGAGUUUCUCGAGCAGCUCACGGCUAACCGACUUCAGCAGGACUUUACCCUCGUCGACCCCCCCGGAGCACCCUGCUCGGGCCAGGGCGCGCUGAGUGUCCUCUAGCGCGCAACGUUGCUCCUCCAUCUGGACUUGCAGCGCUGCGACCGUGCCUUGCAGCUCCUUCUGCCGCCGUUCAGCUGCAAGCGCAGCGCCCUGGGCCUCUGAGACAGAGGCGUGGAGCGCCAGCGCUUGUAGCUGCAGCUGCUGUAUGCUGUCGCCGUGCUGCGUGGCUGCUGAUGUUUGCUGCUCUAGCUGCCCAAGUGCCUCCUCCAAGGCCGCUAGGUACUCCUGGAUGGUCGCGAGCGCUGGUGUUGUGGCGAGAUCGAACAGGCGGGUCGUGUAAGACAGGCGCGUGAGACGCUGCAGCAGUUUCGUAGCGCGCUGAAAUGGGAAGGCCGCGCCAGAGUCCGGAGUGCCGAUGCUCAUCGCACUAGUGCUGGCAACCGGGCAGGAGUCCUGCUGGUCGCUGACACUACUGAAGCUCCCAAAGCUUUCCAAACGGCACCCAGGCCCACUGCUCGCCGUGCUCGGCGGCAGCUCGGGCUGGGGCGACGAUCGGGCUGAGGUUCCUGCGAAAGCGGCGGCCACCGCCCUGUCGGUAGCUUCACGCAUUUUUGCCUGAAAUGUUUCGUAGAAAUUGUGCUCGGCCAUGUUUUGUUAUCUCGUGUCGUGUUUGGUCAGGUGGCCACUUUGAGUCGUUGUGUUGUGUUGUGUUGUGUUGUGUUGUGUUGUGUUGUGUCCUGGGGGUGGUCCAGAUUGGUCGUACCCGAAUUCGGGUCUGGCACUAUCUUUCUUCAAUCCCCCCCCUGGCGCCCAAGCCAUGUUGGUGCAUGCCUCUUCAUCUCUUUCACAAGCAUAUAGUGACAUCUGCUUCCAUGCCGUGACAAUCUGGUCCGCUUCAGUCGAUGCACCCCGUCAGCGUCACCGCGGUCACUCCGGUACGCCAACACGUAGAAAUUCUGCCGCAGGUGUCGUGCAACACAGAAGCUGUCUGCACUACUGGGAUUCUGGGCGCGGUGGCAACUGCUGUGUUUCCCAGGGCUUUUUUGCUUCUUGGCCGCUGGCCCCUUCCCCAACGCAACUUAGCUGUGCACAGUACAAAAGCCGCCCACCCCCUGAUACGGAGCGACACGUGCCUCCCGAAACGCCAGUUACAGGGAAUGUUCCCGUAACGUAUAAUCCACUCGGUCCGCUUUUUCAGGCACGCAAGGAGUCGACACGCGGCUGUGCAGCCCGAAACAGCGCUUUUUGCACUCUUGCAAGCUCACAUGCGCCAUCUGCCUGUGCAUCGUUCAUUCUUUCUACAUCAUCUUCCGAAUCUGCUCUCCUGCAUGUCUCGUCUAUGACCUAACAGGCAUCCCGCGAGUCUCUGCAUUGGCGGCUACCACACGACAUACCCGCAUCAACACAACCAUCAACGGUUUGCAAGUAUUGCAACGUUUUAAAGCAAACAAUCAAGUCAUAGACGUCAAGAAGGUGUGCAUUCCAUCUGAAUGCAACACCUAGAAGUUCCAAGAGAGAGGGACGGGCAGUGACGCCCAUCGUAUUGUAUGUCCGCCCGCUCCUAGCCCGCUAACAAUGUACAUGGGAUCAUCUUGUAAUGAUCGACGGUCAAGCUGCUGCUUGUCCUGCCGCUUACGGCUGGGCAGCGGCGAACAGAGGGCAGCUGCAAAGCAGAAUGAAAAAUGGAGGGACAAGAUCAGAACCACAACCGAAGGCGUGUCGAGGGGGGGCACGGCGCAACCCAUAGCUAGCCAUUUCUACAUGCCAUGCCAACCCCAUAGCAGCACACAGUACUGCUUUUUAGACAUUAGGACAAGCAAACCUCAAGCAGUCACAUCCCAACUCACCAGUUCUUCGUGUCGUCAAACACGUUGCCCCAGCACACGCCAUCGUUGGCAGGCAGGCAGAAGUCCGACAGGGGGGUGUCGUUCUUCAGCUCCAGGCAGAUCUUGCCGCCAUUCGCCUGGUCCUUGCUCCAGUUCAGGGGGGUAGCCUUAACGGUCUGCUCGUCCACAGCGCCCCAGGUGGCGGACAGCCACUUGCCGGUGCCGGUCUUGGGCUGCACGUACACGCCGGUGAUGGCGCGGCGCUUCUUGUCGUCGGCGUAGAACUCGGCCUUGAGCAGGCUGGUGCUCCGGCCGCAGGGGCUGGUGGCGCUGUUGGGGGUCACCAGGGUGAUGCUGAAGCAGUAAGCAGUGGUGUCCUUGGUGCGGCCGGCCAUGCUCGACAUCGCGGGCGCAAUGGCGAAGGGGGUGGCGCCGGGAGUGGUGACGCACUGGCACUUGGGGAAGUCGGGGGUCUGCAGGGCGCAGGCGGCCGAGGCCUGGGCGUUGAUGCACGACUGGGGCAGGCCGGCGACGGCGUCGCCCAUGCCGCCAACAGAGACGACCACGGUGUAUCCGGCCAGGGCGGGGCGGCAGCCCUGAGUCACCAUGUCCAGCCAGAAGUUGAUCUGGGUGUCAACGAAGCUCUGCAGCUUGGCGCCCUCCUCGUUGGAGAAGAAGGUGGCGCACACCAUCACCAGGUUGCCGGCGCAGCUGGUGGACCCAGGGGUCACGGUCACGCCGAGGUCGGAGGCCUGGGUGGCCACGUCGUCCUGAAUGGUGGCGAUGUAGCCCUGGCACUCGUCGUUGCUGAUGGAGUAGGGGAACAGAACGCGGCUGGCGUCGCUAACGGUCAGCGAGAUGUAGACGCAAACCUGGCAAGGAGGAGGGGGGCUGGGGGGAGGAGGGCUCGGGAUGCCGGGCGUGGAGAUAGGGCAGCAGUCGUUCUGGCUGUCGAACAGCGCAGCCGAGCACACACCCUUGGGCAGGCCAGGGGGAGGAAUGCACAGCUCCUCAAGGGUGGUGCAGCCCUUGCCGUUCUUGUUCAUCGACAGGGUGAUGCAAAUCUCAGCACCGUCGCUGGCCAGGCCCAGGCCCAGCUGGGUCAGGACCAGGGUGGUCGAGCCAACGGGGCCAUCGGUGGGCUCGUGGAACGAGACACCGACCUUGGUGGGCACGCCGUUGAUGGUGGCCUUCACCACCUCGCCGAAGACGUCGCACGCCUCGUAGACGUUGAACUGUGUACAUCAAAAUGAGGAACAAACUCAGAGAACUUCUUGAAAAAAGAACUCACACUGUGGGUUGCUGGCUGCUGCGACUUUGAAACCGCGACCCGAUGCGCCGACAACCCACCUCGAUCUUCUUGAGGUCUGCCUUGGAGCAGCAGUAAUCGGUGCAGCCAGCCGGCACCUUGGCGCUCAGCUUGAAGCAGUACUGGUUGUUGCCCUUGGCAACGACAACAUCACCCAGCUUGUAGGCCGAGGGAGACUUCUUGCACUGGCAGUAAGGGAACGAGGUGUACAAGCCCGACUGAGCACCCUGGGCGGCCCUGCAGAUUCAGAACGAAGGGCACACGCGGCACGGAGUUACUGCCAGCGGAGCAAGCGGAGUCUCGGCGACGGGAUAGCCUGCUUGCAACUUGCUGUCAAAUCCGGUGGUGGCGCUACGAUCACUGUUACGCUAUGCUGAAAUCAUGAAAAUAGCCCGAGCAUGCUGUAAGAGCGCCGGUUGCAAGAAGGCCGACCGCAUUCAAGCUGCGCAGCGGACCCACACGACCACUAUUUACGCCGUGAGCGUAAAUGAUUAUCUUUGACUAGAGUCAGCGAUGCUCGUCUAUUCUACAACUCAGGAGCUUCCCGAAGCGACAAAUCUGUGAAACGCGCGGUCUUGCUACUCACGCAAUUGCGGCCGCGAAAAGAACGGAGACUAGAAUGCUGCACCUCAUUGUCACAGAGGUGGUUCAGCUAUAAAGAAAUUGUGAGGCACGCGGGCUUAUCAUGGGGGGCCCGGCUGGUCGAACGAGUCGUACGCCCGCCAUUAACCGCGGGCGCGUUAGUUUGGCGUGCGAUGCAAUCAUUCAUGCAACCGCGCCACUUCGACAGUGCCGGAAACAACUUUUAUUUUUGUGGGUAUGCAUCCGGCUAUUCGGUAGGACAGCAGCUGCGUUACGCUCAAACUCGGGCAAACAAUUGGGCUAGCGGCGUGAGCUUGCACCUCACAACUAUCAUCACACAAGUUAUUUAGAUACUGGCCUACCUUGGGCCAUCUCCAAAACUGCCUGUCCAGCCCGGGAGCGGCGGAGCUGUUUCGCCCGCGGUUUGGAGUGGCUUUACUCGUGCCGACGCAAGUCCUUGAUUUUUGCAUUAUAAAAAAAUUAUAGAGUACAGCUAUAGCAACCAACUUGGCAAUGGAGCUGCUGGCAUGGUCCAAACGCGGGAAGCUGGCGCCUUCUAGGCUCUUUGGAGCCCUGUCGGCUUCACAAGUGGCUGAUGCUCAAGUUGUGCAUCGCUUUGGCCGGACAAAUGUCUCCUAGUAACCCGGUUCACAAGCGAAGCGUGAAACGAAAGCAAAGGAUGCUGCGCGCCGGAAGCGAAACGUUCGAUGCACCUAAUUGGGCGCCAAGCGCGGAACCUUGCAGUCUCAGAUGCGUGUGUGCAUGGAAGGAGAAGGCUGGCGGAGGCGAGAGGAGCGGGGGCAGGGAUUGGCUUUCGUGGGGGGGGCGGGGCAAGUGGCGCGGGCGGGGCUGGGGGGGCGAAGAACGGUGAAGACCGGUGCGAUGGCACAGGGUAAGGGGCAGGUUGGCGUAGUCCCGAGUCCCGAGAAACAACUUACGCCCAACCCAGGCGCCAAUGAAACAGGUGAAGAGCUUGAGGACCCCCCUCCCGCUGUCCGGGCCUUACACACAAGCAGGCCAAGUGCGGGGGGAGCCGUAGCGCACACCAUAUACCGUACUGUCACUGUGCUCGAUUUCGUCGCUAGUGACGCCCCUGCUGGCUAGGGUAGCAAGGGUAAUGGGGGUGAACGAGCCGGUUGCUUAGGCUGUGCCAGCUUUCCCCGGGUUUCAUUGGGGUCACACACUUCACUGAUGCACAACUUUCAGAGCCAGGGGGCUGCAUCCUCCGGCAAGCAGACGCCAGGAGGGUGUCCCUGGCCGCAUGCGCUGGGUCCUGGAGUCUACGGUACGCGUUGCCGCACGCGUCGGUUGGCCAUCCAUUCCCCAUCCUUAGACACAAUGACUGUGUCAUGUGUGCACGUUGCGCUUUAGGCUCGGCCAGCGGCACCCUGGGUUGGGUGUGUGAUGGGUUGGGUCUCGGUUUGAGAGGUGUGACCCUUGCAGAAAGCAGGACUCUCCACACUCCCCUCCCGUGCUGUGCAUGUAUGUUCCUGCAUGCACGUGUGUGUAUGAAGUGAAUGGCUCAGCCAACGGCUGUGUGUGCAUGUGGCCCGCGUAAAAUGCAAUUUACCAGUGAUGGGCACUUCUAUCAGGGAGGGGUAGGAAACAAAGUGCCAGACCCCAUGCCCCGAAAUCCCCCGGGACCCCCCUUGAGGGGACGACCGACCCCCCGACGGACAAAACCUUGUUGUUCAGCGGUUAAAACCCCUCCAUUUAAUACCAAAGUAGUGUCAAUCGACUCCUCUUGACGAGCACUAUCACUCCGUGCCAUCAGCGGUCCUGUUCUGAGACUUCGGUCACGGGCGGGAUCCUAUCCAUGGAAAUCCCCUCGACCCAGACCACCCCGCGCUCAACUCUUUGCCGCGUGACGAAUGGACAAUGUGCAUCGGCAGCCUUGUUAGACGUGAACUCAUGCGCAUCAGCGCUUCAGAGCCCAGCUGUGUCAGUGCGCAUAUGUUGAAUGUGGAGACAUGUCCCGACAUGUCCACGUCCGGACGCGCAACUUAGCCCUCCCACGCUUUGUUUGUGCUUAUUACGUCAUAACGUACACAUAUGAGCCUCGCACUGCUGCGUUUGGCCCCUAGUUCUGCUUGUGGGGCGCUUCCCGAAAUCCGCCAGGAUGGGCUCCCGAAACCCGACGGACCCCCAGGGACGAGGACCGACCCCCAACUUUGGCGGCCCAGAACUUCCUCACCAGACCCCCCUUUAAAAAACUAAAAGUACGUGCAUAAUGCUCUCCUGAAGCUCUCUAAUAUUGAGCAUGGGGUAAGAACCUGAGCUUUCUAACCCCCCCCUGCCAUGGCGGCCACAAUGCCAAGAUGCUACCUGGCGGCGCCACGCACAGCAGAGCCCUGUGCUCCGCAAGGAUGCACACGUGCACACACGCACACACAUGUGCGAACACACGUGCACCUGCCCUCCAUGCCACUCGCCCCGCCCCUUCCCCCUUCCCUCACCUCAGUUAUGGCUGACUGGAUGCGGUUGAUCUCAAACAGCCGGCUGCGCCCCUCCUGGGAGCCGCCGCCGCCGCCGCCAGACAGGAGGUCUGGAGUGCGUGUGAGGAAGGGGAGGGGGGGGAUGUGCCCGAGCCCGAGGUCUCAAGCGUCAAGGAAUUGUUUCCAAACCAGGGGGAGGAAGCGGUAGGGGGGCGCGAAGUGUGAUGUUUGUCGGGGUAAGGUGUGAGGCAUUGGGCAUGGAGCGUAAGGCGGGCAUCAAGGCGGGUAGGGUGUCGGCCUGUGCGCUGUCACCCAAGCCACGGGCGCACCGUUAGCACGCACGCACGCGCACACGCUCACACUACGCACCUGCGGCCGCCUCCUGCCCCUUGCUGGUGGCGCCGCUCCCGCCGCCGCCCCCACCUGCACCCCCAGCAGCCGCCCCGCCCGGCACCGGAGCGCUCACCACCACCUGCGCCUCCGCCGCACCCUCCACCGCUGACUCUGCUCCUGCUCCCCCUCCUGCUGCGGAUGCUUCCGCUGGUAGCUGCACCACUGGCGUGUGCCGUGGAUGCGGUGGGUGCGGCGCCGCCAAGCCAGUCACCGCCGCCACCACCGGCGCCAGCGCCGCCGCCACGGCAGCCGCCGGCUCCCCUCCCGAAAUCCGCCAGACACCCCCUUAAAAAGUUAAAAGUACGUGCAUAAUGCUCUCCUAAAGCUCUGUAAUUUUGAGCAUGGGGUAAGAAACUGAGCUUUCUACCCCCCCCCUGCUUCUAUCAACCGGUUGUGCUUUCGGGGUUACAUGGAAGAGAUUAGGCUGGUGGGGCACAGUGGUGCACGGUGACAGAGACAGCCUUUCUUCCCUGUCUGGGUCAGGGGACAGGUUGUGCCGCCCUCGAGUCCGAAUCAAAUCGUUCUUUGCAGCAUCCCUCUUCAGGAUGCUGAGUGGAGUUGGUGUCGGUAGUAAAGGCCAAGCCCAACGCCCAUUGCGGCAGGGCCCAGGUGUGGGCGGAACGCCCGCCAAGAUGAGACACGAUGAGAGGCACGGCCGAUCGCGCCGAGUUAAGCCAUCACCACGCCCAGUGUUCCGGCCGGUUGUAACAGAUCAACUGUUACGAUCCCUGUUCGAGACAGGGCUGGGCCCUAACUUAUGCCUCUUACGAGUCUUCUAGUGAAUACGCGGUCACCCAAGUCUCAUCCGUUGGACAUCUCCAACCCCUUGCCAGGCUCUACAGUGAGUUAUGUCCGGGGUGGGCUAGGUACUGCUACCCCAGGGGAGAGCCUUCCCUGGCAGAGCCCAGGCCCUGCCGUAUUCCUUACCGGGUCGCACACCCACCGAAGUACCGAACCACGCGUCACGGUCUGGGAAUCAGCUGCACCCUACGGGACUUCACCAACCUGCCUUAACACUGUCCCAUACCACGCGUUACGUUUCUCCACGAUCCGCGGAACGGCGGAAACACGUAUUGACAUGUGUACACCCGCAAGGAGACCGCGGGUGGGUGAGAAUACUGCGCCUGCGCCUGAGAGCCCCGGGGCAAGCUGUCUCAUCCCCGAACGUAGAACUCAUAGAGUGCAGUCUGUGCAAAAGGGAAAGCGAGAUGCAAAGGACGAAGCAGGAGUCGUGUGACGCGUUAGCGUGGAUAAACGCCUGGCGGAUGAGAUCGGACAUGGCAACUUGGAAAUGGGCAGGUUGGUGUUAGUCCUGUGGACCUGAUAUACCCGAGCCGGUUGAGGGCCUCAUGUGCAAAACCGCCAGCGCCGGUCUGCUGGCCUUAUCUGGGUACACGCAGUACCGGUGCGGUAGCUGACGAUGCCAGCGUUAUUGACGAGUGUUGCGGAACUAAUGCGUACGUAGACCAGAGCGGAAGGCGGAGUGGGCUUGCAGGCGGCACGAGAGUAGGCAGUCAGUAGCGCAAGUUGCGAAUUCACAUGUUACCUCGUAACCGACGGUAAACGCUGCGGACGGUCGCGCCCAUGGCUGGCUGACGGAAGGUGGCUGCUGUAUUGGGAUGGCUGGGCUGGACGACGCCGGCCGGGCUGGCGUGCACGAUGUGCACAAACCGUUCCGCCUGCAGAUUGCAGAAAGCCCUGACGCCAGCUGCGCAUCCUGACGGAUGACACGUUGGGGGCUGUCACUCAGCUGCUGACUCGGGACCACCGUGCUGUCCCCUGCCGCAGUUACCGCCGCAGCCUGGCUGGCAUUCAACUUAUGUUGAAAAUUAUAUCAAUAUGACGCGUUCGUACUGUGCCCCCAAACCGGUUUACAGGGGCAACAGGCAAUAGCCCUGCGCACAAACUCCUGCUUCUCACCAGAGCUUUCGCCGUUAUGCACGGCCACGGGAACAAUGGUCCCGGCCAACCACAUCUAUGAACCGUGUCCGUUAGCCUCUCCUGAGGCUUGUAACCGGAACGCGGCUCCGCUGAUUGCAGUCCCAGGAUGACGCUAACCUAAGCAAACAGUCAAUGCGCAUGAUCAUUUACACACACGAGUGCUCUUAUGUACUGCCCAUAUUAAACACAGUCGAGUUGUGGAUCAGUUGCACGAUUCACCGCGCCAGCCCUCGCGGCGGUGCUUCACGCAAUCCGCAUUCAGCUGGUGGCGAGUCGCCAAGCCGCCCCCAACAAAACCCGCACCGCACCAAGUGCCAUGCCGUUUAGACACACGCGCACAACACUAAUCCUGCGAGGCAGUGAUCUCAUCUGUCACUUUGUCAACUACCCAAUCAAGCCAUUUUUCCGAACCCAAUUCAAAACACGCGCCCACGGGCGAAGCUGUGCGCCGUGGCUGUAGCGGCUGCUGCCUCUGCUGCCAACGCCUCACAAAAUCCACCCGUGGCCGUCUGCCACAUAAGCUCCAGCGGUCACCAGCUAUGCUCCGUGCCAGCUCGCGAUAUUGCCAGGCCGUGUGGCCGCAGCAGCUGUUUGCACAGCUGCCGCGAAGCAAGUCCGCUGCCACAAGAACUCAAACAGGGUGGGUCAGCCGCGCGGCUUCCAAGCGGCUUCCACCUUGUGUGUAUGGACACGCGACGCCUCGGCUGCUGCGGGCUGUGCCAUUUACGGCAGGCUCGCCUGGUACAGCGGGCAGCUGCGGGCAAGACACGGGAGGGGUGAGGAAUGGCGGUCAGAUACGUGACAACGUCGAGGCAGAUGUCCGCGGGGAAGUCCGUGGGCGAAGCCUAUUGAUUUAGAUCCCGCAAGACAACCCACAUUGGCAAGUACGUUGUUGCGAGCGUGUCAAUGCAAACCCAACUCACCAGUUCUUGCUGUCGUCGAACAAGUUGCCGUAGCACGAGCCGCCGGGCGCGGGCAGGCAGAAGUCCGACAGGGGGGUGUCGUUCUUCAGCUCCAGGCAGAUAGUACCGCCAUUCGCCUGGUCCUUGCUCCAGUUCAGGGGGGUAGCCUUGACGGUCUGCUCGUCCACAGCGCCCCAGGUGGCGGACAGCCACUUGCCGGUGCCGGUCUUGGGCUGCACGUACACGCCGGUGAUGGCGCGGCGCUUCUUGUCGUCGGCGUAGAACUCGGCCUUGAGCAGGCUGGUGCUCCGGCCGCAGGGGCUGGUGGCGCUGUUGGGGGUCACAAGGGUGAUGCUGAAGCAGUAAGAGGUGGUGUCCUUGGUGCGGCCGGCCAUAGUGGAAAUGACGGGCGUGAAGGCGAAGGGGGUGGCGCCGGGCGUGGUGACGCAAGCGCACUUGGGGAAGUCCACAGGCUCGGGGGCGCAGGCCUGGGACUGGAAGCCGCUCAGGCAAGACGCAUCCGGGGCCUGUGCGGAGCCGCCGAUGCCGCCGACGGCGGCGUAAGCGCUGUAGCCAGUCAGGAAGGCGGGGCAGCCCUGGACGCCGGUGAUCAGCUGCAGCCAGAAGGGCAGGCGCUCAUCGAUGAAGGGCUGCAGCUCGGCGCCCUGCUCCGAUGAGAAGAAGGUGGCGCACAGCUUGAUCACGUCGCCAGAGCAAACAGCCGGGGCGAAGUUGAUCGCGACGCCCAGGUUCUCGGCCUCGGUCUGGAGCUCGUCGCCGAUCAUAGCAGCGUAGUCGUCGCAGUCCUGCUGGGAGAACUCGUAAGGGAAGACAACGUUGCCGGUCUCAAGGAUGGAGAGGUACACGCAAGCCGUGCAGGGAGGAGGAGGAGACGGAGGAGGCGGGCUGGGGGGAGGAGGGCUCGGGAUGCCGGGCGUGGAGAUAGGGCAGCAGUCGUUCUGGCUGUCGAACAGCGCAGCCGAGCACACACCCUUGGGCAGGCCAGGGGGAGGAAUGCACAGCUCCUCAAGGGAGGUGCAGCCCUUGCCGUUCUUGUUCAGCGACAGGGUGAUGCAAAUCUCAGCACCGUCGCUGGCCAGGCCCAGGCCCAGCUGGGUCAGCACCAGAGUGGUGGAGCCGACGGGGCCAUCGAUGGGCUCGUGGAACGAGACACCAACCUUGGUGGGCACGCCGUUGAUGGUGGCCUUCACCACCUCGCCGAAGACGUCGCACGCCUCGUAGACGUUGAACUGUGGAGAAAGAAAACCAGAAGGGUGAGAAUGGUUUGGACAAGCACGCUAGCAGACGCCAGCAACUCUGCUAGCGACAAGCCGCGAGCGUCGGUUACUGUGAUGCUCUUCGACAUUCCCGCUCGACUUUCUGGCAUAGUCGCAACCACGUGCUUACCUCGAUCUUCUUCAGGUCCGCCUUGGUGCAGCAGUAGUCAGUGCAGCCAGCCGGCACCUUGGCGCUCAGCUUGAAGCAGUACUGGUUGUUGCCCUUGGCAACGACGACAUCACCCAGCUUGUAGGCCGAGGGAGACUUCUUGCACUGGCAGUAGGGGAACGAGGUGUACAAGCCCGACUGAGCACCCUGGGCGGCCCUGCAUUCCGAAGGCACAAGGGCAAAAGAUGUGUUGGUUCGCAUGUGUGCAUCGGCGUGCAGUCUUGAACCCAUGUGUGCAUGACGUCCUAGAGAAGAUGACACUGCCAUGUACUGAUCGAUUGCGCUCCAGGCUCCAUCAAAGGCCCGCCGGCCUAAGCUGGGGAAUGCUGGCGUGCUCCAGUGGCUGUCGAGCGUCCAGGAAAGGCUGAGCUGCCACCGUGAGCUGGGGAUGCUUUCACGUUAUGACCAACACAUCUGUCUGUGACAUACAUCAAGCUAGGGGCUGGAUCGCCUACGCCGCGACAAAAAUGGCGCGACUCCGAGAGAGCCAUCACAGACACUACUCACGCGA